RNAcentral lists this long non-coding RNA (85008 nucleotides) under Malus domestica (apple). Lineage: Eukaryota; Viridiplantae; Streptophyta; Magnoliopsida; Rosales; Rosaceae. The record is from RNAcentral.
AAAUAUAACAAAGCAUGAAAAAUAAAACAACCCCAGAAGGAUAAAAAGAUGCGAAAUUAAGACUUGUUCUUCAUGAUUUACAUAUAAUUUGCAGAUCUGUUGGUAGGAAAGUUGCAGAAAACCCAGGAAUAAAAAAACAGGGAGGAACUAAGAACCUUGAGCUGCAGCCACAGGAGGCCCCUCAGGGAGGAGGAGAUUUGAGGGGAAGAAGAGAAAGGAUCUGCAAAACAGAGAUUUUCCGGGGCGUCUGAGAGGGAGAGGAGAGAGAGGGAGAGGAGGGGUGGGGGCUGAGUAUUUAUGAUUCAAAGAAGCAGGGGACAGAGAGAGAGGAAACAGAGGAUGAUCUAGAUUGUGGACCGUUGGAUGAGGUUUGAGAUUGGUGUUGGAGGAGCCCGAUUUGGUCCACGUGGUCGGGAUCUCCAGCCAAUAAUACUAGAAAAUAAAUAAAUAACAAUACUCCCGUUUUAGCACGAGCCUACAAAGGAAAAUAUCUAAAUUUAUUUAUUUAUUUAUGGUACGGUUGAUUGAUUCCAAUUUCCAAUUGACCAAUGACCCUUGAGCCUUUGCAAGUGCAAUGCACGGAAAGACAUUCUCUCCGGAUUUUUACCAUUAAAGUCAUCGAAUCAAGUGAUCCGAAUAUUUGAAAUUUCAUUUAACAUGACAAAAAUUAUUAUAGUUUUUAAUAGAUCAAAAUAAGUGAACCGUUGGAUGAAAUUUUAAAGACUCGAAUCAUUUGAUCUAGUGGUCUUAGUGGAAAAAAUCCGAAGAGGAUCUCUUUCCGCAAUGACAAUCCAACUAUUUUAAUUUUUAAUUUUCUGGUAAACGAAGAGAAGGAUUAGGAUUAAGGACAAUCAAAUCUUUAUCUAAUUCUUAAAUUUGAAGUCAUGCAGAUUUUUUUCUUACUUGAUAAGAACACGUUGACAUGGACAAUCAACCAAAAUAAGAAGAUAAACGUCUCCGUAGGAUUUGAGCUUCCGUUUUUAUUUUGAAGAUCUGUGAAGAUUAAAAUGCAUAUUAGUCAUAAAAUUAAUGUGUCUAAUAUUAAUUUAGAUUUAAAGAUUUAAAUAUUAGAAAAACCAAUGAAAAUGACUUGAAAUUUUUGAGUUUUAACGAAAAUGACAAAAUAAAAUGUAAAGUGAAUAGUACCAUAAUUGAUUUUUUAGUGUAAAAAUGUGGUUUUUCGUUAAAAUGAAUAAUACCGAGUGAUUUUUGUAAAAAUUUCCUUAAAUAUUUGACAACUUAAUAAAUUAAUAUAAGAAAAUGAGUUUUUUAAUAGUACAAAGGCACAGAGUAUGAACAACUAAUUAGAUGAUGCAGUGAAUCUUUAAAAAAGGCAAGAAAUUCCAAUAAAGUUGUCUUAUUAGAUCAUCUUUUACAUAUGAUCAACUUAGAAUCAUGUGAUAUCAAAAUACAUAGAAGUUUCAAAUUUUAUAAAACAUGUUAUAACAAUGACAUGUCGUAAUCACUUUUUUUUUCUUAAAGUGUUGCUACGCCCAAUAGGCCGAAUGCAAUUCGAUGAGUCAUGAACGUGCCACAAAUUAAACGAACGUGGUAUGAGUAUGUUCGUACUUUUGCCAAACCCGAAUUUAAAAUAAGAAAACUAAUGAAAAGGGUUUGAAAAUUUUGAGUUUUAACGAUAAUAAAAAAAUAAAUGGUAGAGUGAAUAGUAUUGUUGAUGCACAAAACCAGAGGUCUUGGAACAACGUAAAUCCGACCGUGAAUUUGCAAAAAAUGUAAAUAACACAAGAUGUAUCGUGGUUCACCUUAAGGUUUGGACUACGUCCACACUAAUUGUAUUUCUCUGAGAGUAUUUGUGAGGGAGAGAGUGUGAGAGCUUUUCUCUAGAUAGGAGAGACUUAAGGUUUGUGAGGGUGAAGAUGCCCUUUUAUAGAAUAAGGAUUCCUCCACUAAUUACAUAUUUGCCCAUUCUUUUAUUACGUAAUUACAUUUGAGUUAUCCGAGUAUUUAUACGAGGUCUAAAUACAAAUGCCCUAGGUAUGGUAUAAACACGUAUCAAGAUUGACUUUUUAGUAUAAAAAUAUGAUUUUUCGUUAAAGUAAACAGUAUCAUGAGCUUUUCGUUAAAGUUUAUAUUUAAAAACUAUAGCCAAAGAUUAAAGAAGCAUGUCAAAUUUUGAAGAUAAAAAGAGGGGAUGAAAAAAACAUGGCAGAUGAACGUUAAUUAAAUUCCAGUGGAGCAAGGGUUGCAGAAAGGCUAAUUGCAGGGAGGCUUCAAUAAUUCGAAUCCAAGGUGGAAAGGACAGACAUGUUUGUAAACACAGAAUGGAAGUGGGAACCACAACUCCAUUCCCUUUCCUUUUCUGUUCGAUUCCUCCACAUGCCACUGCCUUGGGAUGCUCACAUUGGUAAACAAUGUUGGGAGAAAGAUUUACAUUUACUUGGCACAGAUAUAUUGUUAUCGGUGGCGUGCUGUGUUAAUAACAUAAAAUAUAUGUAACUUUUGUUUAUAUGGUAUUGUUUUAUUUUUACGGAAUGUUAUGUAAUUGUGUACUCGUGCUAUAUAUGUUGUUUUUUUUAAAGAAAGGUUUAGUUGUAGAAUCAACUCUCAUGAAUGACCUAUGUAUGUUGUUCUAUUUGAGGGAAAAGUUUAGUCGUACAAUCAACUUUGAUGAAUGACGAACUUAUUAAUAUCAUGAUAUUUUUUUAUAAGUGAGAAAUUUUAAAGCCAACUCUUGGUGAAUAUCAAAUUUAAAAUAAUAUUUUAAUUAUCAGUAUAAAAUGUCGUUGUAUAUCAUAUACUUGUAUUAAAUUUUGGUGGCCAUAGUCCAAAUUUGCAAUCCAAUGGAAUUCAUGGAGAUUAAUACACACAUAUAUAUAUGGCCCCUACCAUUAGGUCCAUUACCAACCAAUUGUAAUUGGGGCGAUCAUAUGUGUAUACGGUUCAUUCACCACUCAUAUAGUGUAUAUCCGAUUAUACCGUAUUUUAAAACGAUUUUGUUUCCUUUUGUGCACUAUUAGAUAAUAGAUAGUGUAAAAGUAACCCUUUACCACAGUAGUGAAAAUGUGUUGUGCCCUUACAUGACGAUAUGAAUUUGAACUUUAUCGGUAGCUAAUUUAACAUCUAACUUAUUAACGCUAUCACCCGACUCAAAAGAUAAUAGAUAGUGAAGUGCUCACUAACUUGCUAUUUAUAUUGAGAAGUAAUUUCAAUAUAUAUUUUUCUUCUUCUGCACGUUGAUGUUUAUUCUGAUCAUCAAUGCUUCAUAUAUUUCAAUUGAAUGACCAGGAUAAUACAACAGUGUACAACUACGUGUGAUAAAAGGAUUGUGCGGGAUUCACUUCCCCUAUUCCUUAGAGCAACUAACUAUUAGUCUAGUAAUAUACAAAUCUCUGAGCUCUCCUUAAUGUAUAUCUACAUAUAUAAAGUGAAAUGGCAAAAAGGGUAAAGUUUUCAAUAUCCUUUCAAUGGCCUCACUUUAAUUGGUGGGUGGUUAAUAAUUCUUUCUUUGUUUCUGAAUUUUUAAUUAAAAUAUAUAAUUAGAUCUAAAGCAGAAAUAAAACUUAAUUUUUAAUCUAGGCGUGGAAGGAGGCUAGUUAGUGAAAUGAAUAGCUUGUAUUAAAAAAAUAAUAACUUUCUGAUAAAAAAAAUAAUAAUUUGGUCAUUAUUUUCAUAAUUAUUUAAGGGCCUGAUAGGCCCGUACAAUGUCUUGGGUAGGCUUAAGACCGGCCCACUAAACUAGGUUAAGGGCCUGAUAGGCCACGGGUAAUAGGUCUUGCGUUUGAACUUUGAUCUUCUGCGCAAGUUUUACUUCUGUGUUUCAGAAGACUGAGAGGAAGAUGGUGUGGCCAGGGACAACAAUGGCAACCAAUUGUCUAGUAAGUCGUUUCUCAACCUUUUGUUGUUAUUUUUAUUAUUUCAAUCUUCUGAAAUAUAUUCGUAAAUGAUACGAGCCAUAUAGAGGGAUUGGAAUUCCCAAACCCUAGUAUAUAUUAGACUGUUAGUUAGCAAACAAAAGAAUUAUUGAUUAUAUUUAUAUGAUGAGAAACGUUAAGAUGACUCUCUUAAAGUGGAACUCUGUCACUUCAUAGUUUAACGUCAAUUUUCUUGCCAACAUUAUAACAAAAAAUAUGGGCUGGCAGCCCAUGGAGAGUCCCACUUUUAAAAGAGUCUCCUUAGUAUUUCUCUUUAUAUGAUAUAUUAAGGAGAGUGAUAGGAUUGUUGGCACAAAUUUGCAAUUAUAUUAUUGUUGCGUAUGAAUUACAAUUAAGUAUCAGUUACAAUUGACGACAAGUGCACAAGACUAACCAAUAACCCCAAUAGUUCGGAUUGUAAAUUGAUUAAGGAAUACAUUAAUGUUUUGAUGGUUCAAUGACAAAAUUUUCUUAUACACUCUGAAAUACUAUAGAAUUUUGAAUAGUUAAUUAUCGGUCAAGUAUACAAUAAUUAAAAUCUACAAAGCGCUAUACAAUUUUCAGCAAAUGAUAUGUGACAUUUGACAUUUGAAAUUAUGUGACAGUUUCAAAUUCCCAUGCAAUAACUGAGUACAAAAUUAAUAUAUUUCCUUUCCAAUGACCAUGAUUUCCCAACUACAAUAGUCAAUAGGUCAUCACCUUUAAAAAAGUCAUGAAAUCCAGAUGCAGAAAUCUUUAAAGAUGGUGAUAUAUCAGACUUUAUUUCAUUUUUCAUUCCCCACCUAAGUGGGUCCUAAACCCUAAAUUAACCACAUAUAAAUGAUAUAACCCUAAUCCCUUGAGUGUACCAUGUGAUACCUUUUUAUUCCACUGCAUCUGCAUCAUGUGUUUGAAGCAGCCUUGUUAUUCUUCCUCUUUAGUUUUCUCCUCUUUUGAUUCAGCUCAUAAGCCUCAUAUCCCAGCUUGUAGAUAAACCCUAAUUUUUUUUUAAAAAAAGCUAAAGCUAAAGUAACCCUUGUCUCUCUCUCUCUUGAUGUUCCUUGCUUUGUUCUCUCUCUCUCUCUCUCUCUGUCUCUAAACAUUAUUUCAUGGAUUCGAAAUCUCCAAAAUCCAUGUCACCUUCUUGUCCUACCUCAGUAAUAUAAUAUUAUAUAUUAUAGUAGUUUUUACAAAAGGGUACCUGGGUAGGAUAUUCACUCAUUCUCUGUGCAGUCAUGCAUGCACAUUCAUGUCACAAUGUCUAGUCAUCAAAGCAACACAAUAGUGGUACGUGGGUCAUUGUGCUGGGAAGAAAAGUGGGGAGGAAUCUCUUUGGUAUUUUCUCCCAUCCAGAAUUCGCACUUUGCUCAUCUUUGCUUCGCACCAAUGCAAUUGUUCUGCAUUUAGGUCGGUCAUUCUCAAAACCCUAGAUACCAGUUUUAGGUCAAUCAGACCCAUCAGUAUCUCCAUCUCUUCCUCCACCUUCAACCUUCGCUUUCUCAGGCAUUUGUGGGAACGUCGAAGAUCUUUGAUUUUCAUCUUCUUCUGCUCAUGAAAUUGGGAGAGGUAAGAAUAUAUCCGGAAAAUGUUUAUACAUGACGUAUGUUUUUUAACUUAAAGAACGGACGCGCAUUGAUAUUGCUAAGAAUGUAUCAACCACAUGUUUGUACGCUUUGUUACAACAGUGACAUUAGUGACUUGACAUUACUAAUAACAUAUCGACAAUCAAUUCUUUAAUAAAGGAUGGACUUCCGUUAUGGACUAUAAUUUGGUAUAGUAAAAAUAAAUGAUAACAUAACAUAAUUAAGCAAUUGAAACACAAACACACACACAUAUAUAUAUGAACUUACUUUUUGAUUAACUUUCUUCAUCAGAUGGAGAAGAGUGGGAUCAACUGAACCUUUUCGUUUUCGUUUGAACAUGGAUGCUAAUUUCUGGCAGGGUUUUUCCUUAUCAGUCUUGAGAAAAUCCAUGAACGUUCGGAUUCCGUCUUCCAUUAUCAUUAAAAAUGCAGCUGACGAAAUUUUUGAGCCAAAACCUUCAUCCUUUUGAUGGUCAUCAUCUUCUGAAACUUAUGACAUAAAAUUCAUGCAUUAGUUAAUUAACUUUGUUUGAUCCCUAGACCUUUUGCAUUCUUUGAUACAAUUUAAAAAAUCAUAUCACGUAACAUUCAAAUUGUUAAAGAAAAAGGGUAUGAAUUAAAAGAAGUUAAAGUACAAUUCUUCUGCAGAUGUACCUCGAUAUUCUGGCACUUGAAGUAACUUUGGUGCCAAAAGCCUCAUCCUAGCAUAAAUCUCUGGCCUCCUGCCUUGCUCAUAAGGCUCAUUCUCUACAUAUCUUUGUAGAAGCACUUGAAAUUGCUGAAAUUUCUGUGCUAAUUCGCCAGGAACGCCGGGAUCAAACUCAUGGCGUGAUGCCCUUUUUUGCUCAAAAUUCUUGUAGUUCCAAUUAAGUGCUUCCCAUGUUAAGCAAAUUUGUGCAACAUAAGCAGCCUCCAGCUCAUGAUAAGGGUUGUGACGUACAUCAGGCAGCCUUUUUGUUGCCGUAGAGAUUCUAUGAACAAUCCUUUCCGAAAUUGAUCUUGGACAGACUUGAAUAGACUUAAGUGAUUCUGAAAACAAAAAUAUAGCAUAUAUAAUGUCAGCUUAAGAUAUUAAUAAAAGAAAUCAUUACAAAAAGGGAGAAAAUAUAGCUAGAUAAUAAAAAAAUUAAAUUAAAUUACCUGUUUCAUGGAGCUUUUGGGCACUAAUUCUGUCUAGGAACAUCAUUUCUUCAUCAUACUUUUGGAAGACUGUGUAAGACUCCCAUUUGGGGCAGCUUCGCCGGGACGAGGAAGAAAAAGGAUCUUCAGUGGCAGAAUCCCUGCAAUUAAUUGAGCUUCUCCAAUCAGAAGAGCUCUUAGAAGUUGAUCCAACAGUUGAGUCCUCAAAAAUUUCAUCCUCUUUAUUGUCUUGAACUUGGAACUUCUUGUUCUUCAAUUGUGAUGGCCCGAAAACCACAAAAUUUUCGUCACUGGAUAAAUGCGUCUGAUCUGCCCUAUUGAUUUCAGUAUUAUGUUCAUCACAAUUACCUGUAUGAUCAAAUAACAUAAGCAAAUGUCAGGCUGCAAAUAGUACAAGUAUUAGAAGUAAAUCAUGUGACUAGCUAGCUAAGUGUAACAAACUUUAGUGCUUGAAAUAAUGGGACAUACCGUCACCAUUUUUGUCACUUUUAUGUAGCUCUAUAGUUAUCGGAGAUGUGGGCCACACUCGAUCCUUCGCAACAGAAUUGAGAACUGAAACUGUAUCUUUCACGGGGAUUUCCUCCGCACCUUGAUCGUCAUGUUCAGAUUCUGAACCUUGUGAUGACUCAUGCAAAGAUUCAUCGGGGCGGUCUUCAAUUAUUAAGCUCUCCCGUGCGCUAAUGAAUUGGUCUUCGGAAAAACUUUUUUGAUGAUGAUGCUGAAGGUUAUUGUUAGGCAAAAACAUCAGUGAUUCGCCGCCGUGAAUGAUGUCAGCCACCAGAUCAUGAUCAUUUAUGGUACUGCAGUAUUGGUGACCAGGAACAUGAAACUGCCUUUGUUCGUUGUCUUCUUCUUCCUCCUGCUCCUCCUCUUCUUCUUCGUCCGAAAACACAUAGUCUUCGUAUCCAUUCUGGUUUCUGCAAUCCAACAAAUAAAUGCAUACAAAAGGGUGAAGAUUAAGUAAAUUAAAGAAGUAAAACACAAAAGUGAGCAUGCAGUUAAGAACUUAAAACAUAAGGAUAUAUAAUUAAGACCUUGGGAAAAUAGGGUUGCUGCCGACAAAGUAGAAGAGUUUGAAAAGAAAAGUGGAGGAGAGGUAGAGGAAGAGGAGGAGGAGGUGGAAGGAGGAGGAGGUGUUGUAGAAGAGCCUAACUAGUGCUUCCUCAGCUGAACAUGGCAUUUUCUCCUCCGAAAAAUGAGUUUGUAUGGAGCCUCUAGUGUCUCUCCUUCACAAAGCACAAUGGCAAAGUGGGAGUAUUACUCCUUGAAAAAAGUUAAAGCGUGUGCUUUGGUUUGCUUUCAUAAAUACUCUCUUUCUUGUUGGUCGAAAUAGUUUUUUUUCACCAAGAAAUGUUUCGUGUCCUCCAAUAUUGCAAGUGCCAAUUUACCUUAUAUAUGUUUCCUAUUAUUAAUUGGAUAUUUAUAAAUAAGCCACUUAAAUCGUCUAUUUUGUAGUGAAAGAACACGUAUAACACUAUUUUGAAGAAAAAAAACUUUUAAACUUAACUGUUGCAACUGACAUUAAUAUAGGUAAGAGAUAAUUUUCUAUAAUUUGAUUCUUUAAAGGUUUCUACCACCAACAGUUAUUUUAAAUAUUUCACUACCUUCUUCUUCUUCUUCUUUUUUUGUUUUUUUAGGUAAAAGAUAUUGCACAGUCUUGAUUAAAUUGCUUAUGAAAAUAGUUCUUUUGCAUGUGCUCACAUUGUGUGAAACAAAUCGUGAGAAUCAUUUCUAAUGCAGUAUCUUUGUAUUAAAAGAACAUAAACCUUGUAUUUUAGUUUGUAUUUGAAGUAAAAGAACUCCUUUUCCUUUUCUUUUUAUUGCUAGAAUUAAAGUAGAAAAUCCUAUUCUACAAGAAAGGGGCCUAUGCUAUAUCCAAAUAAAUAAAUAUAAGUAUAUAACUAGAAAUAAAAAUAAAAAGAAGAGACCAAAACCAAGCCGCACGCAUUGGUAGACAUGUAUGCAUGCCACUUUUUAAAAGAAGUAUUAAGAUAAUAUUAUUUUCAAAUAAAAAGAAGCUGAAAUAAAAAUAAACAACUUAAAGUAGAUAAUUAGAGGAAAAAAAUGACACGACAUAAGUUUCUGUACAAGGUUUUGGUCAGAUAAUUAGUGGAGGCUUGAAGGUAUUAGUAUUCUUUGCCUCCUAUAAUAUAUAAAGAACCUUUUUAUAAAGCUAUGAAUUAUGGGAGGUAUUGUCAAUUGAAUUUGGAGCUUCUCUUUUGGAAAUCUUCUUGGUUGUUUCUUCUUGUCUUUAACUUUGCCACUAAGAUUUCUGCAGACAUGUUUGUCGAUCCAAUCAGCGGUUGAUUACUUGAUCAGGCACGAAUCAAAUCACCAAAUUAUGAAGCACUAAACUAUGAUUUGUAUUAAUUAAUUAGUUUACAAUGGAUUGAGCUUUUGAAUACAACUUUGUAUCUUUGCUUGAUAAGCUUGAAAAAAAAAAACCCCCCAAUUCUUGGUAGCCCAAUAGUAAAUACAUUCCUGAAUAUAACCCACAAAAAGUCCAAUAUUUGCAUAAUUCUUUGAAGGGAAAAAAAAAAAAAAUCUUUUGGUGCCACAAAUUGGAUUGAAUAACCCACAUACCCAAAGAAAUUAGAGUAAAUUACUUUUUAACUCUUUCUGUAUGGGUGCAAUUGUAACUCAUUCAUCAUCUUUAAAAUAUUUCAAUCUCAUAUACUUACAUAUUAUUUAUUUUCAUACAUAUGUUAGUCAAAGGCUAAAUAGCCAAAAUGGUCACUGAGAUUUGCAUCACUCAUCACUUUGGUCCUUAACAUUUCAAAUCAAUAAAAGUGGUCCCUGAGAUUGUCCACCAUCCAUCAUUUUAGUCAUUCUGUUAAAAACUCCGUUAAGUGUCCCGGAGCUUUUGGCUGGAAGUUAGGGCAAUUUUCAAAGCUUCGUAACUCAAUCGUUUCUUAACCAAAUUCGACCCAUAAUAUAUCAAAAUGAAGAUAGGAAAGUGUAGAAUAAGAUUAUACCUAUUUGGAGCCCAAUGGUUGCCAGAGAUGGCAGGAAAAUAGCCUCAAAGUUGACUGGUCCGAGGAAAAACUGGAAAACUCGUCGGAAACUGGGUAAACUUUAAAUGUUCAUAACUUCUUCAAUACUUAACGAAAUCAAGUGAUUCAAAAACAAAAAUCAUACUUCUCGACGAGAUGAAGAUAAUGGUUCAUUUUUAGAUAGCUAACUCUCCGUGGUUUGGCUGGAAAACAGCUUCCGGCCAUCUCCAGCAACUAUUGGGCUUCCAAAUAUGUAUAAUCGUAGUCUACACUUUCCUAUCUUCAUUUUGAUAUAUUAUGGGUCAAAUUUGGUUAAGAAAUGAUUGAGUUACGAAAUUUUGAAAAUUGCCCAAACUUUCGGCCAAGAGUUCCAGGAUGCUUAACAGAGUUUUUAACGGAGUGACCAAAAUGAUAGAUGGUGGACAAUCUCAGGGACCACUUUGAUUGAUUUGAAAUAUUAGGGACCAAAGUGAUGAGUUAUGCAAAUCUCAUGGACCAUUUUGGCUAUUUAGCCGUUAGUCAAAUUAUCGAUUUGACCUUUAAAUGAUGACAUGACAAAUGUGGGGCCUAUAUUUUUACUCAUGUGAAAGUCAAAUUUGUCCACAUAGAUUAAAAAAAAAUGGUAAAUUACAUCUUACCACCUCAACUUUAAGUCAUAUAACAAACUCAUAUUUCAUUUUAUAAAUAUUACAAUGUCAUACAUCAACUUACGAAUCUGUUGCAAUGUUAGACCUCCAAUAGUCAAUUCGUCAAAUUGGCCAUUAAACGAUGAUGCGGCAAAUGCAAAAUCCAUAUUUUUGAUGAUAUGGUAGCUAAUUUUUCCAUGUAGAUAAAAAAUAAAAUUAUAAAAUAAAUAACUUAAAAAGAAAAUAAUUUUCUGCACGGUUGACCUCUCUUCUCACCUGAACCAACACGCUAGCGUUGUGCUUCCCCCCCAUAAUCCUACACCUCGAGAUCAAGAUAAAUUCACAUCCACAUUCACCGAAAAUAGAGAGCCGCCAAAAACCUACUCCAAAUAGUUGAACUUGAACAAAAUUAUAUCUUGUUCAUCAAAUUAGAUGAGUAAAUGUCUAGAUGAUGGUGGUGGUAGUAGGAAGCCAGAUCGAAUUGACAUUCAAAUGUUAAAACUAAAAAUAAAAAUUAAAUUAGAAGUAGGAAUUUUCUACAAAUUGGGGAUUAGGGUUGUUUGAGAGUGUGAAAACUGGAAGGGAAAUGGAGUUUGCAGAUGAAUAAUUUCUUGCAUAAUUGACUUGAUCUUGAAUCAUACAAUGAUUCAUGGCUUUAUACAGUAAAGGGAAGGCUACUCUAGGUAAAUACAUCUUGAUUGUUUGCCAAUUACAUUACGAUCCUAUAAUUACCCUAAAUGAAUAGUUGACUUAUUUUCUUUCCUUUAACAACCCCCCUCAAGUUGGAGUGUAAAUGUCAAUAACGCCUAACUUGUGAAGAUGCGUUCGAAAGACAGCUUCCCUUGUUGGCUUCGUGAAUAUGUCGGCAAUUUGUUCUCCGGUUUGCACAUAUGCAGUUUUGAUCUCUCCAUUUUGAAUUCUUUCACGUACUGUAUGACAAUCCAACUCAAUGUGUUUGGUUUGUUCAUGAUAUACUGGAUUUGCAGCAAUGUACAAGGCCGCUUGGUUAUCACAGAAUAGGUUUGCAGGUUCAUGAUGAUUAACCCUCGAAUCAUGUAACAAAUACCUUAGCCAAGUGAGUUCACAUGUAGUAGCUGCCAUGGAUCGGUACUCCGCUUCAGCUGAGAACCUAGAAACAAUUGCCUGCUUCUUGCUUUUCCAUGAUACAAGUGCUUGUCCAAGGAAUACACAGUAACCUGUGACAGAUAGUCGUGUAGUUGGACAACGAGCCCAAUCUACAUCACAAUAACCGACCAAAUUUAAUUGGCCAUAUGAUGGAAAGAGAAAUCCUUGACUCGGAGCUGCCUUUAAGUAUUGAAGUAACUUGUGGACAACAUCGAGAUGAGGCUUUCUGGGUUGUUGCAUGAAUUGACUAAGGGUAUUAACCAAAUACGUGAUUUCCGGUCUUGUGAUAGUAAGGUAAAUCAAUUUCCCAACCAACCUGCAAUAACAAGUUAGGUCAUUGAGAAGGUCAUCAUUGUUUCGAUUCAACUUUAGUUCUGGAUCCAUUGGAAAUUUGGCAGGCUUCACACCAAGUAAACCAUUAUCUUCCAAUAUAUCCAAUGUAUAUUUUCGUUAGCCUAUUGAAAUCCAUGCCAUCGAUCGUGCAACUUCAACCCUAAGGAAGUAUUUCAAUGAGCCAAGGUCUUUAAUCCGAAAACAAUUAUUGAGAAAUUUUUUAAGGUCACUGAUUGCCUCUUCAUUGUUCCCUGUGAUGAUCAUAUCAUCAACGUAUAAUAGUAUCACUGUAAAUGAAUUUUCACGGACCUGAGUGAAUAAUGAAUAGUCUGCCCGUGAUUGUUGAAAGCCAAUGUUUUGGAUUGCAGAUGAAAACUUGUGAAACCAACUUCUUGAGGCUUGUUUCAGUCCAUACAAGGACUUGUUGAGUCGACAAAUAACUCACUCCCCCUGUCGACGAUAACCAAGUGGAGGAAGCAUGUAGACCUCCUCAUGGAGAUCCCCAUGAAGAAUGGCGUUCUGGACGUCCAUUUGGUGAAGGCUCCAAUGGCGAACUGUAGCAACCGUCAAGAGACAACGGACGGUGAUGAGUUUGGCUACGGGGGUAAAAAUUUCUUUAUAAUUAAUGCAUUCGCAUUGAGUGAAUCAUUUAGUGACGAGGCGGGCUUUGUACCUUUCAACAGAUCUAUCAGCUUGAUAUUUAAUUUUGAAUAUCCAUUUACAGCCAAUCGGGUGAUAGCCAGGAGGAAGAGAAACCAUGGUCCAAGUGUUGUUGGCUUCAAGAGCAUGAAUUUCAGCAUGUAUAGCUUCAACCCACUGCGGGUCUUGAUUGGCCUGCUCAUAAGACAUUGGUUCCACCAAAUGGGAAAUAUUGUGUACAAAGUGUUGAUGAGCAGAAGACAAAUUAGAGUAAGAGACAUACCGAUGGAAGAAGUACCGCGUACCGAACGUGGCAGCGGAGAUAUUGCCAGAAGCAAGCAUAGAGGCAUGGUAUGCUUGAUAUUGUUUAAAGUGAGUGGGAGGUCAUGUGGUUCGAUUAGAUUGACGAAGUGGGGGUUGGGGAUUAGGGAGGGUGAGCGGUGAUGUUGGUGUUGUAGAGAUGAGGGCGUCAUUAGGUUGUGAGGGUAUGGGUUAGUUGUGUGAUGGGGCGAAUGAAUUAGUAGCGGGGUCGGGAGUCGAUGAAGGUAUGGGAUUAGUGGUUGGAAAAUCUAGGAGUGAAGAGGAAUGAGGCAUGAUUUCAGUGGUAUGGAUGAGAUUAAGUGGGAUUGAGGAAUUGGUGGGAUGGAUUGGGUCAAUGGGUGAUGGGGUAAUGGUUGAUGGGUCGUGGGUAGUUUGGGAUGAGGUGAUAAAUGUGGUGUGAUGUCAUCAUGAGGAAGUGGCAAAGUGGGCUAAUCAGUUUGCAUUUCUGGUGGUGAGGUGGAGAAUGGAAAAACAUGCUCAUGAAAAAUUACAUCCUGAGAUGAGAAAUUUUUCUUGGUAUCGAGGUCUUAAACCUAAUAGCCUUUUUGACCAAGUGGAUAGCCAAUAAAAACACAUCGUUGUGCCAGGGAAUCAAAUUUGUGAAUGGGUAUGAGAUUGGUUGCAUAGCAGAGACACCUAAAAGUUCAAAUAUAAGAGUAAUGAGGUGGUGUGCCAUGUAAUUUUUCAUAGGGUGAGGUGUGCGACAACAAGGGGGUAAGAAGACGAUUUAUAAGGUAACAAGCUGUUUGAAGACUUUCUCCCUAGAAUUUUAAAGGAAAAUUUGCUUGAAAGCGAAUAGCUCACCGCACAUUCUAGAGGUGAUGGUGUUUGCGUUCCACAACUUCAUUUUGUUGGGGUGUGUGAGGGCAAGAGUGUUGAAAAACAGUGCCACAGUCAUUUAAAAAUGAACGCAUGGAGGUGAAUUAUGCCCCAUUAUCAGCACGUAAGGCCUUAAUGGUACAAUUAAAUUGGGUUUUGACCCAAGAGAAGAAUGAUUUCAAUAAAGAUUAUGUCUCAGACUUAAAAGACAUAAGAUGAAUCCAUGUGAAACGAGAAAAAUCGUCCACAAUAGUUAAAAAAUAUCGUGUCCCAAAAUGUGACGUAACUUUGUAAGGCCCCUAAUUAUCACAGUGGAUUAAAUCGAAAUGUGAAAUUGAUUUUAUUGAACUUAGGGAAAAAAAUAAACGAGUUUGUUUCGCUAGUGGACAAAUAUCACAAACAUGCUUGGAAUAAAAAAAUAUUUAUGGGAUGGUUUUGGAUAAGGCUUGGAGAGGUGUAAUGGAUGGAUGUCCUAGGCGGUUGUGCCACAAGCUUGAGGUACGGUUGACGUUAUGCGAUAGGUGUGGGUUAUGGCUUGGCUUGAAGUGAUAUAGCCCAAUAUAUUGCUUGCCCAGGCCAAUUAUCUUCCUCGUAGCCACGUCCUGUAUAACACAAAAAUCAGGAAAAAAUAUUACAAUACAUUCCAAUCUUGAGUGAGUUUGCUAACGGAUAACAAAUUAACUCUAAACUUUGGUACAUGAAGUACUCUAUCAAGAAUCAAAUCAGAGGACAAUUUGACGGAUCCAAUUGAUUUGAUUUCAAUUUGGCUCCCAUCUGGAAAUCCCACAAAAUCUUGUUGUGUGUCUGAUGUAUUAUGUGUUGGCAAUGAUUUUGAUAUAUGAUAUGUAGCUCCACUAUCCACAAUCCAAUAUAAUGUUGAAUGUGAGUCAUGGUGAGUAACAUUACAGGUUGGUGUGAUUAUACCUGUAGCAUUGGUGAACGAUUGGGUAUUACCGUUUCAUUUUUGAAGCAUGGCCAUGAUCUGAUUGUAUUCUUCGGUAGUGAAUGUGGGUCCCUCAGUAGGCAUUGUUUUAACCGGCUGAGGUUGAUUUGUCUGUGCAUUAUGAGCUGAUGGUUUCUUGCCUUUUGGCUUCACAUUCUUGCCAUGAAAUUUGUGGCCUACUGGAAAACCAUUGAGGAAAAAACAAUCAUCUACAAGGUGUCCUCCAUCAUAGUAACUGCACUUUAACUUUGAAGACGUCGUUCUUAAGUGGUGGUGGAACGGCUUGUCUACAUCGCAUGAUGGUUGCUUAAAUUUUCACACCGAGAGGCUACUUUAACUUGUCUUUCUUGCUGAAGGACCAAGGCAUGGACAUUACGUGUGUCAGGAAACGAGUUCAUCAUUAAGAUCGAUCCACUAACGGUAGCGUAAGAGUCGUUUAAUCCUAUAAGGAACUGCAUAACUCUUUCCUUUUCUUCUUGUUCAGUAAGUUGCUUUAGUCCUUCACAGGUGCAAGUGAGAGGAUCGUGGUAGGAGGCUGGUUCAUCCCAAAGUGCCUUUAUCUUGGUGUAAUAGGCAGAAACAGACUGUUGUCCUUGUCGGUGUUUGACGAUUUCUUGUCGAAUCUGGUAAAUCCUAGAGUCAUUACCUUGUGAAAACCUGUCUUUGAGAUCAUUCCCAACGACAGCUGUCGUGUCGGUAUAGAGAAUAUUGCCAGUAAUGUCCGAGUGGACUGAAUUCACGAUCCAAAGCAACACCAUGUCAUUGCAUCGCUUCCAAGUAGCGUAUUUUACCUCUGUGAGUUUUGGGGUUGUGAUGGAUCCAUCGAUCAUCCCAAUCUUAUUCUUUGCGCUAAGACCAAUGCGCAUGGUACGACUCCAUUGUCUAUAAUUAUGUCUGUCAAAAGGUUUUGAGACCAAGAUGAGUCCCAAAUUAUCCAAGUGGUGCAAAGUGAGCGGGUCUGAGAUGUCGAUUGACACCUCUGUGAAUUUCGUCUCACUUUCACCCAUCUGGUUUUGUUUGCAACGGAAGGUGUGGUUGGGUUCCUAGAGGCACCAAGAUCGGUGCUCUGAUACCAUGUGAAAAUUGUAAGGGAAGUGGAGUUUGCAAAUGAAUAAUUUCUUGUGUAAUUGACUUGAUCUUGAAUCAUGCAAUGAUACAUGGCUUUAUACAGUAAAGGGAAUGCUACUCUAGGUAAAUACAUCCUGAUUGUUUGCCAAUUACAUUACGAUCCUAAUUACCCUAAAUGAAUAGUUGACUUAUUUUCUUUCCUUUAACAGAGAGGGUGGUGUGGACAAGCUCUUGAUCAGGUUGGUCGUCAAUGGUUUUAAGGAUGGAACGAAUCUAUGUGAUGUCAGAGACACCGUGUUGCAUGGCAGCGAGGACUUUGGGGUCAGAGAGGUGAGGCAUCUGAGUUAAGGAUGGGGGUCUCACUACUACAAAAGUGGCUUAUUGUGUCGGUGGUUGGUGUCGGUUUUAUAUAAUUGUAGACAUCAAAAUUUUGGUAAAUAAAUGUUGACCGAUAAAUCAAAGUUUCAACGCUCAUGUAUUACAUAAAUUUUACACGUAGCGUGUGUCUAAACAAAAAAUCGAAAUAAGUUAGAAAAGUCAUCAAACAGGACACGUGUCAACACCUGGCAGAAACGACUUAUUUCAUCUGGAAUAUUAUAUUCAAAAUUAGGCCUUGGAAAUUUCUAUAAAUAGAAGGCUAAUUCAUUCAUUUGAGGGAGAACCAAUUCAUAUUACACAUUGAAGCUCUGAAGCUCUGAAACUCCGAAGCUCUUAAGCAUCCAGGUUCCCGAAGAAUCAAGAAAGCCUUCUUCAUUCUUCGUUCAUCGUUCUUCCAAGAUCAAGCCCCAACGGCCCUUUGGAUCAACAAUCAUCCACCAAUUCAAGAUCAAGCCCCGACGGCCCUUGAAGAAAGUGUUCUUCGUUCUUCGUUCAUCGUUCUUCCAAGAUCAAGCCCCAACGACCCUUGGAUCAACCAUUCACCAAUUCAAGAUCAAGCCCCGACGACCCUUGAAGAAAGCACCAUCGUUCAUCAUCCGUUCAUCCAAGAUCAAGCCCCAACGGCCCUUUGGAUCAACAACGUCGACAAAUCCACACAUCCAACCGUUCUUCAAGAUCAAGCCCAAAAGCCCUUGAAGAUCCGUUCAUCACCAUUAUUCAAGAUCAAGCCUCAACGGCCCUUGAAGAAACACUCAUCCUCAAGAUCAAGCCCCACGACUCCUUGAAGAUCCGCUCAAAUCCACCUUCAAAGAUCAAGCCCACGGCCCCUUAAAGAAACUUCCAACAGUUCAUCCAAGAUCAAGCCUCGACGGCCCUUGGAUCAACGAAACAUCCACAAAUCAAUACCUUACGGAGAUCGAAUCAGAGGAUCAAAAUAGAGAGAGAUUGUAACCCAAAAUCAUCAAAUACAAAUAUUAUUUUGUGCACGCUGUUCUUGUCUCUUUCAUUUCAGGAAUUUUCCGUGUUCACAAAUUGGCACGCCCAGUGGGACAAUCUCUACCUCUCAUCUCUUUCUCCGUUCAAGGAAUCCAAACACACCUCAAAGUCAAUGGCAUCAAGCAAGGGACAAGCCCUUCUCGCAACCACUGAAGGAAUGAUCCUAAGCACUUCUGCCGCAAACGGACAAUCCAUUGGCACCACAACCACUCCUCAACAUGCCACUUCAAAGUUGGUGCCGCUAAAAGAGCAAGGGAAGCAUCAAAGAUGUGAGUCUGUCAUCAACCUGACCUCGCUGGGGGCACCGAAGCAUGCUGCUGAGGCACACAAGAUGACAUCCCAAAACAGCCAACGACGUUCUUCGUCAGCAUCUUGGAUGUCUAAAGGAAAGUCACGUCUAUUGGUUAUACAAGUCAUGACCAUCGGCGUUACCUCCAUCGAAGAACAACUGGCUCAAAUGAAUGAAGCAAUCGCAAGGCUAACCCGAACUGUGGAAGAAAAAGACUUGCAAAUUGCAGCAUUAAUUAACCGAUUGGAGGCACAUGACGGCGAGAAACCCGACCCAGAAGAUGAGCCUACGGUGGAGAGAAUCGAUGCGAAGCCGGAGCCAGACCAAGCAGCGGCACUCAUGGGAUCUCUUUCUAUCCAACAGCUGCAAGAGAUGAUCACCAACACCAUCAAGGCACAGUACGAAGGGAGCUCAAAUACAUCUGGGUUGUACUCGAAGCCGUAUUCAAAGAAGAUCAACGCCUUAAGGAUACCGAAGGGUUAUCAACCGCCAAAGUUCAUGCAAUUUGAUGGAAAGGGAAACCCGAAACAGCACGUUGCCCACUUUGUUGAAACUUGCAACAAUGCAGGGACCGAAGAGGACUACCUCGCCAAGCAGUUUGUGUGCUCGCUGAAAGGAAACGCCUUUGAGUGGUACACAGACCUAGAGCCUGAGUCCAUCAACAGUUGGGAGCAAUUAGAGCGGGAAUUUUUCAACCGCUUUUAUAGCACCCGCCGCACUUUGAGCAUGCUAGAGCUAACGAGCACAAAGUAGUGGAAGGACGAGCCAGUCAUUGACUACAUCAACAGAUGGCGCACUCUAAGCCUCGACUGUAAAGACAGGCUCUCAGAAACCUCUUCAAUCGAGAUGUGCAUCCAAGGUAUGCAAUGGGGUUUGCAAUACAUCCUUCAAGGCAUUAAACCACGGACCUUCGAGGAAUUGGCCACCCGCGCCCAUGACAUGGAGUUGAGCAUCGCCCAUCAUGGGAAGAAAGAACCGAUCGCCGACUACAAGAACGACAAAGUUCUUGAGACAAAGAUGGAGAAGGCUACGUGGAAACCCACCAAGAAAGCGAUGACGGUCAACACAUCUCCCGUCAAAAUCUCUACACGAGGCAAGGCGAUUCAAGUCGAAGCUUUUCGUGAUCAAGAGAUGCGUAGACGCACUUUGAAGGAGCUUGAGGAGAAGACUUAUCCAUUCCCCGACUCUGAUGUGGUUGCCAUGCUGGAUGACCUGUUGGACAAGAAGGUGAUCGGUUUACCUGAGUGCAGACGGCCGGAAGAGAUGAAUCGUACCGACAGUCCAAGAUACUGUAAAUUCCACCGCUUCAUCAGUCAUCCGACAGAAAAAUGCUUCGUGCUGAAAGAUCUCAUCAUGAAGCUGGCUCAGAAAGGAAUCAUCGAGCUAGAUCUUGACGAUGUGGUGAAGUCAAAUUAGACCACCAUCACUUAUGACUCUGUCAACUCAAAAUCUUCACCUCAAUCGUUAGGGGCAUGCUCCAAAACCAUGCCAGUCAAGCAAAGCAAAGUUGAAGAAUGGACUCAAGUCACUCCUAAGAAAUUACCCAAGAAGCAUACGUCUCCUCCACAAGUUCGCCAAUCGGAAAGGGGGCAAAGCAGCUCUUGUCAACCUUCAAAGAAAUGUGAACGUGUUAAAGAUGAUGAAAUUGUGACACAAAGAUCGUCCAUUGCCAUCACAAUGCGUGAUUUCUUUCCCGAAGACUUCUUCAAUCACUCGGUCAAGGUUCCUUGCUAUGAAGAUUGUGAGGAACGCCUCUCCAAAAUUGCUUGACAAAAUUCACAAACUCUCCUCGCCCGCACGAGUCUAAACUGCAUGGCACAAAGCUCCUGGUCUGCACAAGCAUAAAAGGCAAAACCAAACACUCCUUGCCUGCACGAGUCUAAACUGCAUGGCACAACGCUCCUGGUCUGCACGAGCAUAAAAGGCAACACCAAAUGCUCAUUGUCUGCACGAGUUGAAACUGCAAACGACACCAACACUCCUUGCCUGCAUGAAUUAAAACUGCGUACGGCACAAAAAAUCCAUUGCUCAUUUGAGCUACGUUUUGACUUGAUCUCUUUCUUUGGAAGGGUACGUAGGUAGCUUGAAUAUUCAAUUUCAAGUUCAGUCACAUCAAAAUAAAAAAUAAUAAUAAGUGUUUUAUUAAAUAGAGUCAAUUUUAUUACAAAAAAAAAUGAAUACAUAUGUUAUUAUGUAUUUACAAAAACAAAAAAAAACAAAAAAAAAAAAGAAAGGAAAAAAAAAGGAAUAUACAAGUAUUUUAUAUAUAUAUAUGUGUGUGUGUGUGUGUGUGUAUAUAUAUGCAUAUACAUAACUACCAAAAGCCCAAGCCCAGUUCUUGGACCUACAGCCUUCAUUUCCUGUAAAGUCCAGGCCCAAGUAAACUCCGUUCCAUCGACUGCAGGGCACCGCCCUCUGGACCAUCUUCCCCCUCUCUGUAAUCAACAUCCCUGCUCUCCGCCGUUUGAAAAAAAAAAAAACCGUUGUUGAGAAGCAACUGCAACCAUGGCGUGCUACAACAAGGUUGCCCCGAGCCCUCUGCUAAAAGCCCAGUGCCGUCAUCAAUUCCUCAUCAUCUCUGUCUCUUUGUCUUCAUCAAAGGCAGCAACGAUUUGAUUAACUCGGGCGACACUCACAAAUCAGCUCGUCCAGACAGUCGUGGAGCUUAAAUUGCAGAACAAAUUCCUCAAAUCUCAGUUCGAAUGAUUCUAGAAUCUUCAACUGCCAAAGCACGGAAGCAAUAACAAUGGGAUCUCGAGCAGGAGAAUGGCGACUGGGAAGUUCCUGGACCUCGAAGGCGGGCAAAGGCGGUGGAGCUCGCAUAAGAGAAGAAGUCUGGGAAGAUGAGUCAGUGCUCUGCUGUAUGCGGGAGUUGCUAGAUUUUUUUUCAAUAGUGGCAGCAGUGGAGGGCAUAAACCAAAUAGUGACCGGAGAAUUGGUGUCUCUCUCAGAACAAGAGCUUGUCGACUGUGACACGUCCUACAACGCCGGAUGCAAUGGCGGUCUCAUGGACUACGCCUUCGAGUUCAUUAUCCUAAAACGGCGGCAUUGACACUGAAUCCGACUAUUUAAUCUGUUGAUGUUGACUAGCACCGAAACCAGGCAGGAGCAGAUGACGGCGGUGCGGAAAGAGAAGUUAUUAGCUAUGGUGCGCACACCCACACCCCACACGCGAACCGGGUCCAAUGGAAUGACUCCGUUUCGAUCUACACCAGGCCCAAGCCCAGUCUCUCCACCGCCUCACACACCGUCAAACACGGUGGUGUCUCCGACCUUGUCUAUUCAAAGCUCAGAAUUGCCAGAAAACCCAAUUGGCCUGUCCCAUCCGGCGCCAGCCACGACAUGCUUAACUACCAAGGCAAUCAGCACCACCGCCACUGCCACCACCUCGACUGGAAAUUGCAACAAUGGUAGUAGUGUAUUCGCACCUUCCUCCGCUUCAGCGUUGAUGACACAGCCACCCCAAGCAUCGUCACCGUCCUCAUUCACCAAUCAAGUAUCCACAUUGGGCACCCUGGAUGGCUCUACCACAACCUCCGCCAUUAAUGAACCCACAUCACUCUCGCCCUCUCCUUCUACCUAUCAGCAGACAACAGCAGCCUAGCAAGCGGCGGUGCAGUUUUUUUCUACUCUGCCCUCCUCCACCCCAAAAACCCCAAAAAAAAUAAUAAUAAAAAUUUCGGUUUUCCGUUCGGUUACUCUGUCGCGCCCGGUUCGGAUCCCGGACGAUUUAUCCCAAAAAAUCUCAGAAAAAAAACCAAAAAAUCAGCCAGAGUUUCACUUCCGGUCCUUGGGUUUUUCUAAAUUUUUAGUUUCGAUCCUUUGAGUUUGCAGAAAAAUCUUCCCAACAAAAAGAGGAAAUUUUGAAGUGAGGGUUUUUUGAUUUUGGUGUGACAUGACUCAGAUUCAAGUUCAGCACCAGCAGCAGCCUCCUGCGAGUGGCCCGAACGUUGUGGCGGCGAACGUCGGCGGUGGCGCCCCUCAGUUUGUUUCGACGUCGCUGUACGUUGGGGAUCUCGACCAGAAUGUAACCGACUCGCAGCUGUACGAUCUGUUCAACCAGGUCGGUCAGGUCGUGUCGGUGAGGGUCUGCAAGGACUUGAGCACUCGCCGAUCUCUGGGCUAUGGUUACGUCAACUAUAGCGCUCUUCAGGAUGCUGCGAGGGCACUGGAAGUUCUGAACUUCACUCCACUAAAGCCCAUGAACAAAGCCAAAAGAUCACCAUCUCCUCCACCAUCGAGGUUGUCCCUGCCUUGCCUCCGCUCAGUUCGAGGGUCUUGGGUUCGAGUUUGUCCUUCUUUGCCUCGCUGCUGUGCCGUGGGACUUGGAUUGCAUCCCUCUCCUCCUCGACGCUAUGCACUACCUCCUCCUUCUUCCGUCUCUCGGACUCGGCCUGGGUUUUCACCCACGAACCCAGCUUGCAGAGAGCACCAUAUAUAAAAAAUAAAUAAAAAAUAAAAAAGAGAAUAAACUUACAAGGGUUUCGGUGCAUCAGGCACCAUACAAAAGAAACAAUAAAAAAAUAAAAAUAUAUUAAAAUUAUAUAUAUAUAUAUAUAUAUAUAUGGAUGGUGCAUCAGGCACCAUACAAAAGAAACAAUAAAUAAAUAAAUAAAUAAAUAUUAAAAUAAAUAUAUAUAUAUAUAUAUAUAUAUAUAUAUAUAUAUAUAUAUAUAUAUAUAUAUAUAUAUGGAUGGUGCAUCAGGCACCAUGUGCCAAAAAAAAAAGAAAAAAAAAAGGGAAUGGUGGAUCAGUCCAUGUGAAAAAUUAAUAUGUAUGUAUGUGUGUGUGUGUGCAUAAUAUAUGUAUGUUUACAGCAAACAAAAAAAAAAAAAAAAAAAAACAAAUGCAUUGAGAGAAAUAAAGUCCGUUUUUAUUUAUUUUUUCUGGAAAUUUUACAUAAAUUUGCAUUAUACAUACUUAAAAAAAAAAAAUCAAAUCAAAUUUACAAGAGGGGAUCUUCAAGGACGAUCAGGUGCCACCUCACCACUCGGCAGAGCUCCAGAAAUGAGAGGCGCCGAAGGUUGACUGUUUGAAGCCACACCACUCGGCGGAACUCCAGGAAGAAGAGGAGCCAAAUGUUGAUCAUUUAGAGCUUCAUUACGCGAUACAGCCCCAGAAAACGAAGGCAAAUGUUGUUGGAACAAACCCACAAACCUCUAAUGAUCAAGUAAAAUCUGACCAUCAGAGUCCUGCAUCUGGUCAAUCUUCCUCUUCAUGUUUGUCGCAUAGCUAUGUGCGAGCUUAUGCAACUGUUUAUUCUCCUGCUUGAGCCCUUUAAUCUCCUGUUUGAGACUCAUCACUUCAGCCGCUAAUGAUUCAACUUGACGGGUUCGAGCAAAUAGACGUUGGGCCAUAUUAGACACAGAACCUGCACACUGCACACUGAGAGCCAGAGAAUCCUUAACAGCCAACUCAUCAGACCGUUUGGAAAGUAGUCUGUUAUCUUUGGGAGUGACAAGGUUCCUGGCCACCACCGCAGCGGUCAUAUCAUUCUUCAUCAUCGAAUCCCCAACGGUAAGAGGACCAGUAGGGGAUAUGAAAGAUGGGCGCCAUAUGUUGUCUGGAGAAGGCGGGACUGCCUCUUCACUAAGAUUCAAAUCAAAACGACGGUCGGAGGGUCCAGACAUUUUCAAAGGUGUUGAAAAAAUAAGAAGUCGGACAAAAUCAAGAUCUUAGAAGUGCACAAAGGGAGUUUCUACAAGCGAAAAUUCAAGUGAGCUUUGAAACGAACUGCGUGCCUCUAUAAAAAAUCAACACUCGACGGGAUUUCAGAGAUCGAAGAGGCGAUCUCAGAAUUCGAAGAGGCCAAUUCAAAAAUCGAAGAGGCAAGACUCAGAAAUCGGAGAAGCAUCUUGCUUUUCCAAACACGUCAGCACCCGUCACGCGCAAAUUCAGCUUUGCGGAAAUCACGGGCAAGUUGUCGAAGCGCCGAUCCCAGAUAUCGAAGAGGCGCCAGUCUUUUUCAGCCUCGUCAGCACCCGUCACGCGCAAACUCAGCUUUACGGAAAUCAUGGGCAAUUUGUCGAAGCGCCAAUCCCAGAUAUCGAAGAGGCGCCAGUCUUUUUCAGCCUCGUCAAAACCUGUCAUAUGCACACUCAGCUUGACGAAAAUUACGGACAAUUUGUCGAAGAUUUCUGAUAAAGAAGAAAGCACGUGAAGCCAUACUGAUCAAUCACGCAUUGGUUGCCGACACGAGUAAAAGAAUAGUACCUCUACAGGUACUAAAGAAUUUCCUAUAACUGUCCACCUUCACCCUCCAUAGCAAGGUAGACAUACAUAACCUUUCUUCAUCUCCGAGAAUGCCUUCCCAACAAAGCCUCUCGAGUCACUCAGUGUUUCUUAUUCCUUGGGGUAUCUCUGCAAACAAAUGACACCAAAGCAAAAGUAUCUCAUAUCACCAGGGUAGAAAGCAAGAGUAUCUCAUAUCAUGCGUUCUCCCUGUCCUUUCCUUUGUCCUUGUUCUUACCUACAAAGACAAGGAUAAAGAAAACAAUAUGCCGGAACCUCCACUCAAACUCCGAUGCCACAUUUGCCUGGAGAACAUAUAAGGCAAGUGAAAAUGAUACCUUGCAGCAUGUGGAGACAACGUGCAGAAGAAACAAGCAGAGAAGAAUGCAGUCUUCACAGUCAGCUCAGCAGAAGGAGUCCGAGCUGAGGAACUCAAGAAGCUGCCACAUCUGCCUGAAGAAACAAGCAGAGAAGAAUGCAGCCUGCACAGUCAGCUCAGCAGAAGGAGUCUGAGCUGAAGAACUCGAGAAUAUGCUACAUUCUGCCAGAAGAAUAGAUAAGACAAGGGAAAAUGAUACAUUGAAGCAUGUGGAGACAAGCACAACAAAGCACGUGCCGAUUCAUCCGUUACUUCUUCAAAAUCAAAAGUAUCUCAUAUCAUCAGGUUUGCAAUCACUCUGGGUGGAGGACUCGUUUUGACCCUCAAAUUCUUGGGUCGACUUGCUAGGCGUUGUGGGCUGCAUGUGCUGUUUCACCACCCUUGGAUCAAAUCCUUAAAGAUCAAGUCACCAACUGGAAAAAGAACCCAUCAAUCUUGAAGAUCAUACCGUUGACCAAACUACUCAGGUGUGAAUUAGAAAGAUUGAACAAAGCAACAAGCCGUCACCUUCACCUCGUGCCUGCUUGCCAUGUGUUCGAGUCAACCUUCAAGAAUCAAGCCUCAACGGCCUUUGAAGAAGUUUCCGGCCAAAUUCAAGAUCAAGCCUCGAUGGCCCUUGAGGAAAUCACAAGUCCGAUUCAAGAUCAAGCGUCCACCAUAUUUGAAUCAAAUCCAGUUCAAGAAUAAGCUGUGGAAAAUCAACAAUUGGAGGAAUCCAGAAAAUCCUCCAACCCAGUUCAAGAUCAAAGCUGUGGAAAGUCAACAAGCGCAACAAAAUACGUGCCGAUUCAUCCACUACCAAAGCCAAAGAUCAUCUACCACAUGAAACUCCUUGUGGUCCAAUUUCAACCUUCAAGAUCAAGCCUCAACAGCCCUUGAAGAAAUCUCCAACCCAAUUCAAGAUCAAGCCUCAACGGCCCUUGAAGAAAUCUCCAGCCCAAUUCAAGAUCAAGCCUCGACGGCCCUUGGAUCGACAUCUACAUUAAGGGACUUCAAAACGCAUCUCCUACACGUGACAAGCACAUGUAUACGACGCGCCUUGAAGUGGGGGCAUUUGUAGACAUCGAAAUUUCGGUAAAUAAAUGUUGACCGAUAAAUCAAAGUUUCAACGCUCAUGUAUUACAUAAAUUUUACACGUAGCGUGUGUCUAAACAAAAAAUCGAAAUAAGUUAGAAAAGUCAUCAAACUGGACACGUGUCAACACCUGGCAGAAACGACUUAUUUCAUCUGGAAUAUUAUAUUCAAAAUUAGGCCUUGGAAAUUUCUAUAAAUAGAAGGCUAAUUCAUUCAUUUGAGGGGGGAACCAAUUCAUAUUACACCUUGAAGCUCUGAAGCUCUGAAACUCCGAAGCUCUCAAGCAUCCAGGUUCCCGAAGAAUCAAGAAAGCCUUCUUCAUUCUUCGUUCAUCGUUCUUCCAAGAUCAAGCCCCAACGGCCCUUUGGAUCAACAAUCAUCCACCAAUUCAAGAUCAAGCCCCGACGGCCCUUGAAGAAAGUGUUCUUCGUUCUUCGUUCAUCGUUCUUCCAAGAUCAAGCCCCAACGACCCUUUGGAUCAACAAUCAUCCACCAAUUCAAGAUCAAGCCCCGACGGCCCUUGAAGAAAGUGUUCUUCGUUCCUCGUUCAUCGUUCUUCCAAGAUCAAGCCCCGACGGCCCUUGGAUCAACCAUUCACCAAUUCAAGAUCAAGCCCCGACGACCCUUGAAGAAAGCACCAUCGUUCAUCAUCCGUUCAUCCAAGAUCAAGCCCCAACGGCCCUUUGGAUCAACAACGUCGACAAAUCCACACAUCCAACCGUUCUUCAAGAUCAAGCCCAAAAGCCCUUGAAGAUCCGUUCAUCACCAUUAUUCAAGAUCAAGCCUCAACGGCCCUUGAAGAAACACUCAUCCUCAAGAUCAAGCCCCACGACUCCUUGAAGAUCCGCUCAAAUCCACCUUCAAAGAUCAAGCCCACGGCCCCUUAAAGAAACUUCCAACAGUUCAUCCAAGAUCAAGCCUCGACGGCCCUUGGAUCAACGAAACAUCCACAAAUCAAUACCUUACGGAGAUCGAAUCAGAGGAUCAAAAUAGAGAGAGAUUGUAACCCAAAAUCAUCAAAUACAAAUAUUAUUUUGUGCACGUUGUUCUUGUCUCUUUCGUUUCAGGAAUUUUCCGUGUUCACAAUAAUAUACUAGCGGAUAAGACACUUUCGACGCCCUUUUUACAUGGUGUUGGAAUUACUAUUGGGUAUAACCACAUAAACUAUCUAUGUCGCUUAUAACCAACAUAGAUUGUUAAUGUCGCUUAUAACCGACAUAGCUUAAUCUUUUUAAAUGGUGGUGUCAUAUAAAAAGAAAAUCGUAUCGCUUUCAACCGACAUAAAGUUAGUGUCGAUUAAAAAAAAAUCGUGUCGUUUCUACCUGACACUAAUAAUUAUUUUUUAUAUAUUUUAAAACCCGAUGUCGGUUGUAGCCGACACUAAUAAUUAUUUUAAAAUAUUUUAAAAUCCGGUGUCGGCUGUAGCCAACACGUUGGUGUUCUUUAUCCAAUGCUCCGACAAGUCACCACAAAAAGACUUGGAUUGCCAGCAUGUCAUUAACUCACAGCUGUUCAUCGUUAUAAAAAAAUCAGAACCAUUCCCUUAUUUGAAACCAAUCCAAUUGGCCACCCCAAAAGCACUUGGAUCACCAACGUGGCAAACCCCACUAUAAAACACCACGCACCAAACCACUCCAUAUCAAAAUUCAAAUCCGAGCGCAUCUCAGUUCCCAACAAUUCGUUUUCCCUCCUAAACGAAUCAUUUUCAUUUCCCAAAAAACUCAGAGAGAAUGGAAGCCACGAAAGCUACCAAGGGCAUUGGCGGAAGAAGAGGCAGAAAGAUGAUGAAGUUGGUGUUCAAGUCAGUUAAAGCUGGCCUCCAAUUCCCCGUCGGCCAUAUCGCACAUUUCCUAAAAAAGGUACGCUACACCCAACGUACCAGUACCGGCCUCCAAUUCCCCAUCGCCCGUAUCACUUGUUUCCUUCAAUUCCCCUUUUGCUUCUAGCUCCCAUUUCAUGUAAAUUUUUUUUUAAUUAUUAUUAAUUAAAAACAAAGACAGAUUAUUUUUAUUUUUAUUAUUAAUAGUUUGUGGUGUCCCUUAUGGGCAACAAUAUAUUGGUUAUUUUAUUUAUUGAAUUGUUAGGUGGCGUCGGUUAGGACUGACACCAAUCUGCUCCAUCCGACAAUCUUUGUCAGUACUUAGUGUUGCUUGUAUCCAACGUGAGCCUCGAUGUCACUUUUAAUCGAUGCUACUAUCCUUUUUUAUUUUAUAUUGCUUUCCUUCUUUGUGGUGGAUUAAGGAGACUAACCGACAUCAAAAGCCUUUUCAUGACGCUAGCAUUAGUGUCGGUUCUAUUAUCCGAUGUUGCAUGAGUUUAUGUCAGAUUUUUACCAAAUAUCCGAUAGAAAUUAUAUUUUCUUGUCGGUUUUUGGACCGCCAGUUAUAAGUAAUUUUGUAGUAGUGUUUGGCUGAAGGGAUGAGCAUCGAUGCAGAUUUUACAGAGGUCGGAAGAGGCGGUGGGACAGGUGUUGGGCUUGGGACUUCAAGAGGGGAGGUGGGACAGGACGUAGGAGAGCAUGGGAAAUUUGGAGAGGUUGUGAUCUAUUGGAUGAGAUGGAAUAAGAUGGGAUGAGAUGGGAUGAAAUCGAAGAUAUGGGGUCAGAGAUACGAAGAAUGAGUGGUGGUUCUUGAAGAAAGUUGAGGUUUCACCAUAAAACCAAUUAGUAAUAUAGAGAGUAGCUCAACUUACUUAUAAGCUCAUGCAAGGUCCAUCCUCCCAUUAAUGUGGAAUUUAUUCUCAACACGCCUCCUUACAUGUGGUGAAUUUUUAAGCCUAACAUGUGGAUAGUACAACGGGGUGAUGUGGAGCACGUGUGGCCGUUCCACACCUGGGACAACCUGCUCUAAUAACACGAAAAAAGUUGAGAUUCAACCAUAAAACCAAUUGACAAUAUGGGGAGUAGCCCAACUUAGCCCAUGUAAUGUCUCUCCUCCAUUAAUGUGGGAUUCAUUCUCAACAGUUCUGUCUGUGUGAGUGAUGACUUAUGCGAUUGGAUUUGAUUGGAUUUUGAAAAAGAAAAAGAAGGAUGUUAGACCAAGUCUCAAAGUUUGCUCUCUUCUCGGCUGCUAGGAAAUUGUUAGAUGUCCGCCAUUACUUUUCUUCUGCUUCUGGACAUCAAAUUAACUUUCAUAUGUCUUCGCUUUAUUUUUCAAACAAUGUUUCUACUCAUGGUAAGGUGACUAUUAGACAGGUUUUGCAAAUCCGACAUCGCCAUUCCAGAGGUAAAUUUGGGACUUCAUAAUGUGGUUUUUUGCAUUGGCGGAUCUAUUAAGGGGCAGUAGGGGUCAUCUGGCCCUCCCAACUUUGGCAAACCUCAAUGGAAAACCUCAAUGCUGCCCAUUUGAGGUUCAGAGUUAUCCUUGAGAUAUGCCCUCUAACUGCUUGAUGGAAUGCCUCAAUGAAUGGGCAGCGCAGGGAAUUGUAUACAGCGUGGAUGAAGGUUGCAUCGUGCCUUUGGCUCCAAUAAUACAUCAGAGUUUGGUGUUGCAGCCUCUGUUUUUCUACCUCUGGAUUUCCUAAACUUGCCUCAACCCGCCAAGGAAUUUCCUAAAGAAAAGUGGAUAAGUCCAUAGCUGCCACUUCCACCGUUUCAAACCCUAUUUGCUUCGAAGUAGUGCCAUCAUUCAUUUGGAAGUGUGCCUUUGAAGCAAUACCAAGUCAUUUUAUACAUUUAUAAAAAAUAAGACCCAUCCACUUGAAAAAAACUUAAGCUUCUAAUUAAUCUAGACAAUAUAAACCCAAAUCUUUAUAAUCUUAAACUCUACCUAAUCCCAAACCAAAUUCCAGAUUUAUAAAAUUUCAAUAUUCAUUGUAUUAAUAAUGAAAUUAUUGUAACAAUUUCGACGAAAACGUGUAGUAAAUAAUUGCCGUUUGUAAUGGACAUUUGUAGUUUGUAAUGCUAUUUAUUCAUAAAUUAUGAAUGAUGGAAUUAUGAUUUAAUUUUUAUGGCUAUUUGUUGUUGAGAAAAUGUGUAUAAAUUUUUACACUUGACCCUAAACAAUUUUUCAUGAAUUCGCCACUGAUUUUUUGCAAUGACCCUAUUAAGGAGAAAGAGCCCAUUCUCUAAGUGCAACAAAAGCUUGCGGGAUGGAACUUACACUUUAAAAGCCAACUAUUUCUAGCACGCCUAAUCAUAUUUUUCCUUGUUUUCCGUGUCCUCCUUGGAACAGCUAAAGCUAUUGAGCAGGUGAGUCAGGAUUUUUCUGGAGUUCUUCAGGGACUCAUCCUCCUAUCGCUUGGACAUUCCUCUAAAGAUAAAGGUGACCUUGGUGUUAGACUUGUGCUUCAUUUUAAUUAGGCAUUGUUGAUUGUAGAAAUAUUCUCUUUUAUAAAAAUACUACUUUCACCGUCUAUUGAUGUCAUAUCUCUAAUAGAAAUAAGACUCACAUGCGUUGACAGACCCUACCUCUAUUAGAGAGAUGGUAGGGCCAACCAAAAUUUGUACUAUCUCUCUAAGUGUAGCAUUACAUUCGUUGUAUAGCUAGCAAUGGUAGAGAUUCUAGGCUUUAAAUUGGGCUUUUGAUAAACCGCUUGUUUCUCUUUUAUCUGAUUCUGAAAGGUAAAUUAUUAAUUAGUCCAUCACUAUUUGUGAUCUUAUUACUAAUAGAGCACUGCUUGAGAGAUUAUAUUUUGAGACUAAAUUUUGAAAACUAAAGAACAUGUAAGUUGAUGAUUGAUGUAUUACUUAGUGUUGAUAGACGUGCUCAUUUCUAUUGGUGAACAUCAUUUAGUUUGCAAUUUUAGUCUCUAAAUUUAAUCAAGUGGUGUGGACUAAUUCGUUGCCUCGUAAGGCUCGUGAGGCGUGGCUUUGGGACUUAAGCUAGUUCUUCUUGCCCUAGGGGCUUUUCCUUGCAAUUUUACUUGCAUCCCAAAAAAGAAAAAAAAAAAAAAACUCACAUAGUCAAGGUUAUGUGUAACUAUAGGUGAAUAAUUUUUAUUGGUCUGAGUGAGUUUCAGACACAGGAAACUUAUCCCCCUUUAAUUCUUACCAUUUUAUAGGGGUAGAAAGAAUAAGUUUCCGUUAUGAUUUAUCAGUCUUCCACUUUAAACUGGACAACAUUUUUUGCUUCCUUUUCUGAAUGUAGCUUGAAUUUAGUGACUUCUCCAAUCCAAUUCAAAACACCUACGAGUUAUGGUACUCAGUAAAAAUGAAGAAAAUUUCAAGCCUCUAAUUAAAAAAGUCUCAUAAAGUAAAAUUUCAAACCAAAAGUCACCAUCCUUACUUUUUUUCUUACAAUCAAACAUGUGUAAAAGGUAAUCAUACAGUGAUCAUCGUGUAAAUUUCAACCCAAACAUAUAAUAAUGAGCACCUCCCAGAGAGAGAGAGAGAGAGAGAGAGAGAUGUUUCUAGUCUUCUAGAAACCCUAUGCAGGAAAGAUGGAUGUAGUACUCCAUAGUUGGAGUUAGGAUUGAAUUUUAUGCGAAGCUUGGAAGACAAAAGGAGGUGAGUGUGUAGAAAAAAUGUAACGGAAACGCUUACAUACUGUCGUGCGGGUUGGUCACCAUUUUAACCACUCUUGGUAAACUUUGCCCACACUAGUUAUAGUUAAUUAAAUAAAUUAGAAAAAGAAGAUAAGCCACCUAUAGCCUACAGCCAACCAUUAUAUACGAAUUGAAAGAUCUUUGAACUGUCAAUUAUGCAAAAUUCUUUGCCGUAAACAAACUAUCAUGAUCAUACGCAGUUCCAAACAUGCAAUCUAAUUAAUUAAAAAAUUUGCAGCAUAUCAAGCAAUCUAGCCAUGAAUGCAUCCAUAUAUAUAUAUAUGCUAUAUUUGAUCUUAUUUAAGACAAUAACCAAACUAAUUAAACUUCAUAUAGAGUGUUAAUCUCUUAUCAGGUAUAUGUGUAUAAGGAGCUGAGUCAUUUCUUAGUUAUAUUGUCAAUUGAUUUUAUAAUAGAACCUCAACUUUCUUCGGUUUAUUUUAUGGUGCAACCUCAACUUCUUUUAUGAUAAUAGAGCAUGCUAACCUAUCAUACGCAGUUCCAAACAUGCAAUCUAAUUAAUUAAAAAUUUUGCAGCAUAUCAAGCAAUCUAGCCAUGAAUGCAUCCAUAUAUAUAUAUAUAUGCUGUAUUUGAUCUUAUUUAAGACAAUAACCAAACUAAUUAAACUUCAUAUAGAGUGUUAAUCUCUUAUCAGGUAUAUGUGUAUAAGGAGCUGAGUCAUUUCUUAGUUAUAUUGUCAAUUGAUUUUAUAAUAGAACCUCAACUUUCUUCGGUUUAUUUUAUGGUGCAACCUCAACUUCUUUUAUGAUAAUAGAGCAUGCUAACCUAUCAUACGCAGUUCCAAACAUGCAAUCUAAUUAAUUAAAAAUUUUGCAGCAUAUCAAGCAAUCUAGCCAUGAAUGCAUCCAUAUAUAUAUAUAUAUAUGCUGUAUUUGAUCUUAUUUAAGACAAUAACCAAACUAAUUAAACUUCAUAUAGAGUGUUAAUCUCUUAUCAUGUAUAUGUGUAUAAGGAGCUGAGUCAUUUCUUAGUUAUAUUGUCAAUUGAUUUUAUAAUAGAACCUCAACUUUCUUCGGUUUAUUUUAUGGUGCAACCUCAACUUCUUUUAUGAUAAUAGAGCAUGCUAACCUAUGUGUUAGCCCAACAGCUCAUGUGCUCCCAAUAUGUGUUGCCUAAUGCUUACGUUUUAGACUUAAAUAACGUCACGCAUAAUUCCAUGAAGGGUGUGUUAAGAAUGUGAAUUUCACAUCAAGAAAUUAAGGGAUCUUACGUGUGUUUUUCUAAGGAGUUGAACUUCUCCUUAACUUGGUUGAGAUGUCAAUUGAUAACAGUAAUUUAUGAUUGAAUGAAAAGGGAUAUACGCUGCAGAUUACCAUGUUCCCAUUGUACUCACUGUAGUAGUAGCGUAGACAGGGUUUGGUGGGUAGAAAUGGGUGAAGGUGGUUGGACUGGAUCAUGGAAUUAAAAACAAAAUACAUGAAAUCUGGUACAACAGAAACAAAACCUCGUGCCAAAAUACUUGCCACUCAUCUUCUACAAAAUUUUAUUUAAAAUGACACAAUGUCAUAUCCACUUUGAUUGAAUCAUUCGUAGUCAAUGCCAAGCCUCACAGACGACUACUAGAAAAUACAUAUACCCCUCCCUUACGUUCAUGUAUAGUAGCUGGGGUGUUUUGGUAAUUUAAUUAUUUGAUUCCAUUAUAAAAUUUGUACUUUUCAAUCGCCAUCUUUGUCAAAGUGUUAGCUGUAAUUAUCAACAUAUAAAAAGACUAAUGUGGCUAAUGACUAUGGCUUCUUCUUCUUGAAGAUUGAGUUUAUACAACACAAAGUACACACCAUUAAUACCUGAUCGCCUUGAGCUUUACUUUUAAGCUAGCCAGCAUCAGAUAUCCGUACCAGGGUUUCUGCUGGCAUCAAAAUCGAAUCCACUUGGUUUGUUUAUCGAAUCAAGAAUGCAAGAGAGUCUUCCUCCAGGUUUCAGAUUCCAUCCUACAGAUGAAGAACUGAUAACGCACUAUUUGUGCCAUAAGGUUUCUGAUGUUAGUUUCACGUCGAAGGCUGUAGCAGACGUUGAUCUCAAUAAGUGUGAACCUUGGGACCUCCCAGGUAUAUAUGGUCAGAUUAUGUUUAUAUAAGUGUAUCAUGUUCAACCCUAUUCUUCUGUUCAUCUGCCUCACAUGUUUGCCUUCUUCCUAUAAUAUUAUCUGAUUAUUCCUAGUUUUCUAUGAUAUUUCAUUCUUCUUAUUCCUUAGAGGCUUUUAGUAACGAUCUUGAUGAUGAUCACAAUCUGUCUUUCUUUAAUUUGCCUAAUGGCUUUGUUGAAUUUAUGUAAGUAAAGCAGUCUUUCCUGAAAAUUACAUGUAAUUCAAACAGGAAGAAAGGAUAGUAUAGGAGCAGAUUUAGGCUUAGCCAAGUUGGCUAGAGCACUAAGUUGAAGCUCUAUCCCCGUUUAGAUUAAUUCAAUUCUUUUUAGUCAAAAUGGUUUGAGAUUUGCAUAAAUCCUCACUUUGGACCAUGAGAUUUAAAAUCAAUAAAACUGGUUUAUUAGCUUGUCCACCAUCAAUUAUUUUCGUCAUUUCGUGAAAAUCACGUUAAAUAAGAAAAAAAAAUGAAAAAAAAAUACCCUCAAUUUUUGUCAAAUUAUUUUUCCAUUUUAAUCCUUAUUUUAACAGAAAUUUUUCAUGAAAUGACCAAAAUGAUUGAUGGUGGACAAACUCUUGGACCACUUCUAUCGAUUUCAAAUCUGAAUGAUUAAAGUGAGAAGUUAUGCCAAUCUCAGAAAGUAUUUUAGAUAAAAAAAAACCUUAAUUCAAUAUGCUUGGAUAAAAAAGAGAAUAAAGAAAACUAUGUUCCAAUCUCUUCCUACCAAAUACAUAUUUCCCAUGACAUUUUUUCGGACUUUCUUAGGUUUACAGUAGAUAUUUUGUUUAAAAAGGAUAGUGCUAUUCGCACACUAUUUUUACCUCUCACACAUUUAUUUUAAUUUUUUGCCGUUGAUUUUUUAAAUUCAUUAGAUUCGAUGGCCGAAAAUAAGAGGGGUGUGCAAGAAGUAAAAUUGAAAAAAUGGGUAUGUAGAUAACACUAUCCUAAAACAAUGCAAUUAGACCUUUAAAAAUUGUUUCACAAUAUACAUUUCUUAUACUAAUUUACCAACAGAUAUACUUGAAUACAAUUUUUCAGAACGUUCUUAAGUAGCUUAAGUAUUCAUACUUUUGAUAGGAAUAUAUUUUGACAGUAACGUAUUUAACCGAUAAAUGCAACUUACAACAAACUAAAUUAUUAUGUGGUUGGUGAAGGCAAGGCUUCGAUGGGAGAGAAAGAAUGGUACUUCUUCAACCUGAGAGACCGAAAAUAUCCAACUGGACUUCGAACCAACCGAGCCACGGAAGCCGGGUACUGGAAAACAACUGGGAAAGACAAGGAAAUACAUCGUACAGGUGUACUGGUUGGGAUGAAGAAAACCCUAGUUUUCUACAAGGGCAGAGCUCCUAGGGGUGAGAAAAGCAAUUGGGUCAUGCAUGAAUACAGACUAGAAAACAAGCAUCCUUUCAAAUCCUCAAAGGUACAAAUUACUACAGAAGAAAACAAUUGGAUCGUUUGGGACUGCUAUCUUAAAACCACUUCUACUGAUAAGCACUUUUUUCUUAGAAGUGCUUACCUGAAAAACAAUUGGAGGUUCUUCUAAAAAGGUGUUUUUCAGAGAGUUAUUCUAUUAAACAUAAAAACUAAGUUUUUUAGUAAAAAAUAGUCAGUUGCGCUUUUGUUGUCAUAAAGUGCCUUAAGCUAUUUCAGAAAUAGUCUCAAAUGCCUUUAUCGAUUAUAUUUAUAAUUCUUUAAUUUGCUAGGUUUAAUUUUUUUAUUGGUUUCACAAUAUGCAGGAAGAAUGGGUGGUUUGUAGAGUUUUCCAAAAGAGCAUUAGUGCAUUGAAAAAGCCACAGCAAGCAACCACAUCCUCCCAUCAGCAGCCGUCGAUAGAAUCUCCAUGCGACGAUACGAACUCAAUCGUUAACGAAUUCGGAGACAUCGAGCUGCCAAACCUAAACAGCAAUAUUAACGCAAAUUCAUCCAGCGGGUUCAGCAACAACAUUUCCUCACCCCCAAGCUAUUACAGCAAUAUUAUUGAUCAUAGCAAGAACAACAUUAACGACGUUACCAACAUGAGUUUGAACAUGAAUUGGGCAGCAACAGCGGCGAGAGAGGCAGCCGUGAACGCCGUUUCAUGGCCGUCAAGCUUGCUAAGUCCCUCAAAUCUUUCGGUGAAUUCGUUGCUUCUUAGGGCAUUACAUCUUAGGAGUAGUACUAAUAAUAACGGUAGUAAUUAUCAACCAAGAGAUACUAAUCAUGGUCAAGCUACAGCAGGCACUAGUACUCUAGAUUACUCAUCAUAUAAUACUAUGCAGCAGCAAGGAAUGAUGCCGUCAAUCUCUCAUCACAUUGGAUCCAGUACUACUAUGGAUCAUAUAAAUUCAAAUUUUCAAGCUUCUUCGUCGAGUAUUAAAGAUCAGAUGAUGGAAUCGAUGCCGCCACAACAACAUUCGGAGCAACCAUUCAAUUUGGACUCCAUUUGGUGAAGCUGUGAACUGUACAGCCUGAUCAAAUGAAUAAGCUAAUAACAUCUUGUAAAGUUCGGCAUCGUUACGGUACUAAGCCUGAGCUGGUUAUGAAACAAAUGCAGUAUACCACAGGGAGAGUAGACUCACAUGCACGUACGUAAAGUUCGAUAAUGUUCCAUAUAUUUAUAACUAUGAUAGAUUAUUAUGUCGAAAAAUAAUAGGGUUCUUGCCCUAGUUUAUGGGUCUGUUUAAUUAUGUUGAAGAGUUAUAGUAUUAUGCUGGUAGGGAAAACUCCCUAUGUUAAAUCUGUACCCUCUUAUAUUAUGAAAACAUGUUUCUCAUGAUCAAACAUCUCAACACAUUUCUCUUUCAAAGUUCAUAAGGUAAUCUACACGAUGAUGGUAAUGGUUAAGAAAAUGAAAGUUCAUCAAUCAUCAUUGACAAGAAUUUUUUUGUCAUUAUUAUAACAAAAUUCGAACCAAAUUAGUAGCUAAAUGCAGAGGUUCGAGAUUCCAAAAAAAUAUAGAUUAUUCAGAUCCACACAAUGCCCUACGAGCGGUUGAUUUAUGUUAAUUAUGUAUGAACUAGAUACUAACCACAUUUAGAAAAAUAAUAAUUAUCCUUAAAUCGACUAAAACAUUGUCAAGGAAUAUCUGUUUACACGGACUUACCUGAAAUGAGUUGGAAUGAGCAUUAGAAUGAAUCCCAUCCAUGAAUUCUCUACGUUUUAUUAAUAAAUAUGAAAUAAAAAAAUACGUAUAUUACAACAUGUAAUCUUCCGGCGGCCACGAUUUUACUGAUGGAAAAAAUCCAGCAGACUUAUAAAAAUAAAUAAAAAAUGCAGCCCAAAUCAUAAUAAACUGCCAUUAAAGACGCAACCCAGACCUAUUAACCGUUAAAACAAAGAAAAACUAAUGAAAAUAGCUUGAAUAACUCGUUUGAAUGUGCUUUUAGAGAAAAUAUUUUUAGGUUUCAAAAGCACUUAAAGUGCUUUCUGCAAAAAGCACCAGUUAUGUGUUUUUUUCAAGAAGCGCUUUAAGUGCAUUUUUAGGAUUUACUUGCAUCUUUACUAAUUAUUGGUUCUAAAAAUAUUUUCACAAAAAGCGCUUUCAGUAAUUUCAAAAGCAUAUCCAAACGAGCUCGAAAACUUUGAAUUUUAACAAAAAUGACAAAAUAAAGGGUAAAGUGAAUAGCGCCAGGAUUGACUUUUUAGUGUAAAAAUAUGAUUUUUCGUUAAAAUAAACAGUAUCAGAAGUUUUUCGUAAAAAUGGUAUGCCUUUUCUUUCUUUGGAAGCCUUUUUGAAAGUGUUUUCCUAUUUGUGCACUUAUGUUAUAUGCUAACUUGAGGUUGUCUGUAGAUUCCCAGCAUUCAGCCACCGACAUCACAUAAUUCUCAGCAGUCGACACAACCAACUCAGCAACCAAGCACUCAGGCUGCUCCCUCGUUGCCUGGUCAAGUUGGUUUACAGGACCAAACAGGGCCAUCGCAGGUCCAAGCUCCUCCAAGAAAGCAAUACCAAAACCAACCGGCAAUGCCUAGUUCAUCAGCUGGUGCUCCAUCUAUAAAUGUGCAGUCUCAGCCUAUGCCUUCACGUCCCCUGCAGAACCCCCAGCAGCCCAAGGGACAUCUAAAUCCUCAAAUGAACCCGACUUUUCUUCCACAGUCCUCUCAACUCCCAAAUAUGCCCGCACAUCCUCUACAUUCUUCUUCACAGCUACCUUCGCUUCAUCAAACCCAAAUGUCUUCUGCUUCCGGGCAGUUACAACGUCAUUACAGACAUCUGGAGUUUCUCAUAUGCCGUUGCAACCACCAUUGCCUCCACAACCAAGACCACCUUAAAUGCCUAACUUCCAUCACCAGUAUCCACCACUGAUGGGGGCCAACAUGGGUUCAGAGUUCAACAAUCAAGCUGGAUCUUCCAUGCAAGUUGAUAGAGGAUCGUGGAUGUCUGGCCCACCAGAGAGUUCGACAGUGCCACUUCCAGGAGGCGGCCAGCCUCCUCACCCCCCACCGGUAAGAUAGCUGCUACGUCACACAUUUGACUUCAGCCGGAGCUUUUAUUUAUAGGUCGAGUUUCCGUAUCAAUCACCAUUUGACCUUUAUGCUCAUUGUGCAGUUGUCCCCUGAGAUGGAGAAGGUGCUGCAUCAGCAGGUCAUGACCCUCACACCAGAACAAAUUAACCUCCUGCCUCCAGAGCAAAAGAGUCCAGUGCUACUGCUACAGAAGAUAUUGCGCCAAUAAACCCUCGUGAAUUUUUCAAUUUUUCAGCCGGAAAGAGGGACAGCGCUUAGCUUCAAUGUUCAGCCGGAAAGAAUCUUUGGAACGCUGCCUAUUACUCGGUAAAUUUUCUUGUUUGAGAAUCUUAGAACUUGACUAUCUUUGGUGUUAAAUCUACAUCCAUUUGUUGUAUACCAAUGUUUUAGAAGGCUCGCCUCAGGGCGCGCCUAGGCGGCCUCUGAGGCUGGACGUGAGGGUUGCCGUCUCUGUUUUGAGGGAGUGGGCGGAAGGCGGUGGAAGGCGUCACCGGAGCCUCCUAGGAGGCGGAGGCGCACCUCAGGACGUCCAGGCGACUCUGUUUAGCUUUUUUUUUUUUUACUCUCAAACCCAAAUUUUGGGUAGGGUUUUAACGGCCUCAUACCUCUUCCUUGCACUAUCAUCUCUCUGCCUAUUUUUUCUGAUUUUUAUUUUUUUAUAUAAUGGAUGUACGUGUGAUGCCUGCAUGCAUUGUUAUAUGUGUGCCUAUUGUGCUUUUCAUCAUCUAUUUAAUAUAUAUAUAUAUAUAAUAUAAUAUAUGAAUAUAUAUGUGAGUGUAUAUUUAUAAUAUAUGCAUGUGUUCAGGAUGAUUAUUGAUUAAUAAUCUUCUUCUUUUAAUAUAAUAUAUGUGUACGCUCAGUGUAUAUAUUAAUAAAUUUAGGUCUCGUGAGGCUUCGGCCGGGCUAUCCCUCGGACGCCUCGCCCACGCCUCAUGGUUUUAAUACAUUGUUGUAUACACAAAUGCAUAUAUUAAAAAACGUCAACUACAAUGCUGUUGAUCAACGAAAUACAUGAGAAUUUUAUCUAUGCUAAAAGCCAUUCUGUUUUAAUGUAGAUGCGUGAACUACUCUCGGAGUUUCAAUUGAUAACAUUCUGUUCCAAUGUUUUGCUCCCUUGCCGCAAGCAAACUCAGUCCUCUCUGAACAAAACUCCGUUGAAUCCAUCUCAUGCACCGAGUCGAAGAUAAUCAUUCACACUUUUAGACAAUCCACCAGGCAGGAUAAUUAGCAUUGCAAGGCUAAUUCGUUACAAGCAUCCCAUGUUUUGCCAUUGUCAACAGUUCUUGUUCACUCUCGCAAAAUGAUCAGCGUUUCAAAAUGGGCGAAAGUUUUAAUCUUCGUUUUCCCAAUCAGAAUCUUCAUCAUUGUCGCUAACAUCUGAAUCCACGUAUGAAUCUUCAUCUUCAUCCUCAUCUUCGUCCUCGCUCUGCAGAUAAGAACCAAAAAUUUUACUCUCAUUGCUUGAUACGGGGAUGGUUAAGGAAAGACAAAAUCUGUCCCAGAGGUGGCAUGCUAAAAAUUUAUACUAAUACAAUCAAUCUGAUUGGAGCUCAUGACCACUAGAUAGUGAAUAGAUGACAAUGAGAAACAGGAUAUCUCACUUGGACUAAUUCCAACGCACGAUGAAUCUGCUCGGGAUCUCUCGAGCUCCAGGAACUCUCAUCUACAUCAUCUUCAGAAAUACCCUGUUCACAAUCAACAAAGCUAUGGUCAUGCGAGUGAACAAACGCCCAUACAAAACCGCAAAAAUGUAUCAUGUAUAUUAUUGGAGAAACCAAAGCUGUAUAGCAACAACCGGCCGUGCGAGAGGGGGCAUACGCUUGGAUCGCACAGUGAACAGAUGAAGAUGAACAAACAUAUAGUAAUCACUGAUUUUAUCAUUAGUGCUUCGGAUAUGUGUUGAAACGAGAAAUUAUAACUUACAACUUGAGAUUUCAUUUGCUCUAUGUUCUUCUCUAGUUCAGAUAUGUGCUGACUGAGAGCCUGCAUGGGACAUAAGAGAUCUAGUGUGAGGUGAAGGACAUCAACGAGAGCGAAAUAUCCAAAAAACUGGGAAAUAAAUUUUUUUUAGAAACCUCAUGGCGUUGCAUGGCCACUGAUCGUUUUAAUGCUUUAGCCUUAGUUAGAAGGUUCCUAGGCCUCAAGGUAAUGGGUCGCCGAUAAUUCUUUCCCCGAUAGUAAAUGAGAGCAUAUCCCUUUGGAACUCUUUCUAUUGCCACAAGUAUACCACCACUCUCAUAUUCCAAUAACCUAGCUGUAUCUUCAACAAAAGCAAGAGUCUUUUGCUUGCUUAUUAAUUUCACUAGUUCUCUGUGCUUCCAAUGCAAGUGCAUGUUUUCGACAACACCAUCAAAGACACCACGUAUGCCUGGUAUAAUAUGAAAUAAAGACCAUUAGUGUUUCAGCUAAAAAUUCUAUCUUCACCUAAAAAAUUAGAAGAUUUCUUACCAAGAGGCAAGUAUGCUUUCAUUCUCAAACCAACCCGGCGAAACAUAACCCGUUCCUCAUCAGUGAUUGUUUCCUGAUCAUAAUCGGGACCCGCAGGAAGCAUUAAUGAUUCUAUCUUGGAGAGGAGUUUCUCUGCUCUUAGCUUUUUGGCUUGGGCCUGCCAAUGAGUUCAGAAUAUCAAACUAAGGUACACAUAUGAAUCUACAUGUAUACUUUCUUCCGCAACUGAGUUAUGUCUAAUGAAUGUUAAAUGAUAUAUUUUGGAUAAAAACAUGUUACAAAAAAGGCACCACUCUAGUACCCGGGUCUUUAUAAUUGAGUCGAUUCAAUUCCAAAACUAUUGCAUUCACAAGGAGUGAGAACAAGACCUUCACAGGCUCGUCCACUAAAAGAAGGAUAGAGAAAAUACUUACAACACCUAGUUUAUGCUCGAUUCGUCUGACAAGCUUAGCAUUCUUAGCUCUUGAAUCUUCUUCAAUCAUCUUUUCCCGUUCUUCAGCAGAUAUUUCUCGUCCCCAACGAGCUUGAGCCUCAUAAAACUCAGCCAAAGUCCCUGCAAGUGCCUGUCCUUCCACUGCACCUGAAGAAGCUGCAUCUAUUGCUUUAAUCCGCAUUUUCUCUUCAACAUCUUGAACCUGUUUCGUUAGUUCCUGUCUUUCAGCCAGAGCAGCAGCCACACUUGUUGGAAGAAAGUCCUUUCCACGGUAAAUGACAAUGUAAUAUUUGUUUCUGAGCAGUAAAACGCCACCUGUUAAAUUCUGCAAAAUAGAAGGAACUUUAAAUCAGUACCUAUUGGUAUUUAUUCCGUAGGUAACAAUCAGAAGAAGAUUACAAAAAAAACCUUAAAACUAUUUGACGAAAGAAGAAAAUAAAAUGUGAUGAGUGCCUCUUCAACCAUAGAUUUGGUAGAAAAUGCAAGGUGGAGGCGCUUAAUGGCAAACUUAUUAACAAGUAAUAACAGAAUUACACAGGUUCCUUAAUUAGAAGGAUGGUGUUUCGCAUUUUUUCCUUGAAAAAAAAAUGCAGAAUAAGCUUGAGAAAGUUGUAACAGGAGAACUAAAAGUGCCACUAAUGGACAUGAACGAAAGGUAAAAUGUCACACGAAAAACACAAGGUUUGAUGGUAAUUAGGACAAGAGACAAUGUUGAACAGACCUUUAUCUCUUCAGCCAUCAACUUGUUGUUUGUAUUCUGGAUACCUCGUUUGACAGCAAUCUUAGCAACAGAGCUUUUCUCCCAAAGUUUAAUAAUAGCCAAUGCCAACCCUUGAUGGUUUCUAUUUCUCCCUUCAUUAAGAAAUUAAGAACAAAGAGUUAUGUCAAAUACUGACACGGUAAACUGAAGAAAGGUACUCAGAAGGAGAAUUAUACCAAGGGCAAAAUGACAAGGAAGCGACUUGGCAAGUUUCCGUAAGGUAGUCAUCUCUGCAUUAGUCAGCCGUGAUCGCAUCCCGGUAGGGAGAAGUCUGAAAGGUGUUUUGUAGCCAGGAAUUGUUUUGGGAAGCAAAUCAGCAUCAACAGGAAGUACUCCUGUACCCCACCACUCUUCAAAACGUGGACCUAAAUCAUCCAAUAGGCUGUGAAACUCAGCUUCCUCCUCCGUCAUGUUAUGAACACGCUCUGGAAUUUUCAAUGCUUGCUCAGUCUUAUCUGGACCUGAAGUUGCAUCAUUGCCACUUCUCAUCACCGAUGUUUCAGCUGAAGAAACAUCUGGGAUAAAAAGACCACCCCUUUCCCCAUCAACAGUUUGGGAUUGAGAAGGUCCUUUGUAGUUACUCCCUCGGUACACAACCAUGACACUUCCUGAUCGCCAUAAAACUAACCCUCCUGUUCGACGCUGACCAAUCACUACAAGCAGUCAGUUACAUUACGAAAGUAAAAUGCUUCUACAUGUUCAUUUCCAAACUCGACAUACAAUUUCAAGCUGCAUUCAGCAAGUAGUGUAAUUUACACUCAACACACAUAUAUAAAAAUGUAAAUUGGUCAUAACACCGCAAAAACUGAAAAUUCGAGAACGGAACAAACCUCAACAAUCUCGUGAGCCGUCUUCAUGUCCAAUGCCAGCACCUCAUGGAACUUGAGCCUCACCAGCUCCGUCUUCCUCCAUGUAUCGUGAAUCUUCUCUAGCACCGCCUGGGUGAUCCCGGCCUUGGGCACACUGAUCCUUUCCCUAAGCACCAUCCCCAUUCUCCUCAGCCGCUUCAGCUCCUCGUCCUCAAUAGUCAAUUCCGCCAAGGACGGAGCUUUCCCUCUCCUCUUCCUCAACCCCUUGACCUCCUCCUUGUCAUUCACCUCCUCCUCCUCCUCUUUCUCCCACGGCAAUGCCACCUCAUCAGCGCUCUUCUCCUCCUCCAAUACAUAAUCCGGCCGGACCCACUCCCGCUGCAACAAAUCCCCGAGCUUCUCCUCUCCGCUUGCCGCCGGCACUGAAUCCUGACCGUCCAAUCCGAUUCCAUCGUCUUCCUCCUCAUCGUCCGACCCUAACCUUAAGUUCCGCAACCGGAACACGAUUCUCUCAAUCGCGCUCUGGCCUUUAUUCUUGUCAAAGUACCGAGUCGAAUCCGCUUUGCCAUCUUGCUCUCGUCCCUGCGACUCGUUGACCUUCUCGUUGACUUUCUGGCGGGGUAAUUCGGCGGGAGAGCUGCGAUUGGGCCACUUGUUGAGCCAAGGAGCGGGCGAGGCGGGCCUGGAUUUGUGCUGCGGGGGUUUAGCGUUCGGAUUUCCGCCGUGCUCGGUGGUUCUGACGGAGGAGGAGAAUGUUUUGACGAUGCGAAAUGACGGUUUUGGGGCCAGGCUGAAAGAGGAGGGCGAGUGAGAGGUGAGUGGGAGUGAGUUCCUCAGUGGCAUUUCGGAAAUUUUCGCGGUUGUGAAGGCCAUUUGCGGUGAAGAUUGAAGUAAAUUGUGAGCUUACUGUGGCUGUUGACGGCGGUGCGCUGUCAUUGUCUGAUUGGUCGGAGCCUUGAAAGCGGUGGAGCGACGGGAGGUUGGAGACGAAGACUCUGUGUGUAGUUUUGGGGGAGACGAUAAGAUUUUCGUGGGAAGAUUUUCGGAUAUUUUUUCUUGUAUAUAUAUACUUAUGGAAUUUUAUCGGGGGCACAUCUGUAAUUUUGGUCGGGGAAGAGCCCUCCCUCUCUCAGGCCCUAAUUUGCAGAGGAUAAUUGAUUUUGGGAGUUUUUUUCUUAAAUUUUUAUUUUUUUAACAAACGAUAUUUUAUGAUAAGAGGUGGAGUAGUUUUUGAAUUUUAAUUCUUUUGAAAUGUAAGAAAAGUAAUUUUAAUUCUUUUUUCAAUUGUAAGAAAAGUUUCUUAUAGUGUAGGAAUUCUCGAGUAUAUCAAUGAAUGAUAUACAUUAUUGAUUUUAACGGUUAAAUUAAGAAUUAACUGAUCGAUAUGAACCAUUUAGCAAACAUAAUUGCAUAAUGGAAGCCAUCAUUUAGGUUAUGAUUGAUUUCAGAAACUAAGAAAAGUGUUAUUCGCACUUCAAAGAUAUCAUUUGCACCCCAAACUGAACGUGAUUGUGAAACAAAGAUUGAUUUUUUAGCCAGGUACGAUAUCCAUAAUCAGAUAUUCAAUAUGAUUUUCAGAAGAUCUGUUUGCGUUCAAGUAAAGAAUUCAAACCAAUUUAAGGGAUUCUUUGAUCAAUCUAGAGAUCUUUUCAAUUCCAUUCGUAACAAGAACAUGCUAUCUUCACCAACGAAACAAUAUAAACUAUAUACAACACGUUGUAUGUAUCUCCCCCGUCACGCGAUAAAUGCUAGCAUAAUGUAAUACAUGAAAGUCAAAAGGAGAAAUACUAGAAUAAUUUUAUUAUUAUUAUUAUAAUAAUUAAUAGGCCUUUGAAUUGCUGCAGAAAAAUAGAUCAAGCAUCAUUGACCAUAUACAAUUACGCAGCAUGAAGAUGGACGUGAACUGUUAGAACUCCAUGUACAUACUCUAUCCAUAAACGUAUUCCUGUUAAUCAACUGAAAUUAUCUACGCACCGGAAAAUAAAACCACGUAAAUUAAAGCUCAAAACCGAAAAAUGAACGGCUCAGAUUCCGGAAGAUCUUCUGCUACUGGAAGGAGAUGAGUUCAGGAUUUCCUGACCAAGCUCCUUUACCUUGUUAAGAAGUAGUACUUGCUCGGUCUCGAGCUGAACCAUGUACCCUUCUUGCGUAUCCUCUAGGGCUUCUAGCUCGCUCAUAGCCGUUGAGAGCCCUUCAAUAUUUCCGUCGUCGAUUAGAGACUGGAACUUCAUCAUCGUUUGUUUCAUCUGAACAAACUCAUGGUAAAUCGCGUGUCAGAAAAGAGUUGAACUUGAUUAAAAACAUUUUCCGUACGAACAAUGCUAACAACGUGGCACAGGAAGAAAAACUAGAAAUGAAAACGAAUCUUCUCACCUCACUGGAAAUUUUGUGUGCUUUGUUUAUGGAUGGUUCAGAAUCCAAACUUGCUCUUUUCUCCAACCCCGGGACUCUUCGAGUGACCAGAACAUGGAUCUCCCCUCUUAUUACAUUCUGAAGGGGGAUCCACUUGUCUGCCGUCUGGUUUGGAAGCAAUCUCUGAUAUUCCACGACGCAAUCACCUAUACUUGAUGACGGUAACAAGGCAUUGUGGUCUUUAACAUGCAAGAAAAGGGGGCUGCCAUCAUCGGGGAAUUCCAAGGUUUGAUGCCAUUGGGGAUUCAGAGUUUUGUACAUAACCUGGAGCGCAAGACGUCCAAGUAAUAAGAGAUCGAAAGCAAAGCAAUGGGAAAUAACAAAUGAGAGGAAAACGACAAUCACUACAAUAUUUGAACAUAAAUGUGACUGCUCAAACCUUUGUUUGUUUCUUCAAGUUCCCGUAUUGAACCUUCACAUAUGGAUCACUUGUGCCUCUGAUAUCAGCAGCAAUAAGGUCUUUUCCUUCGAUGAGAACAAGUUCAACCCAGCCAUUAUCUGAACCCUUUGCCGAACCCUGAAAUAUUCCAAGAAGGGGAAAGGAGGAACAAAACCGUAUUAAACAACACACAUUAAGAGCAGAAUGAUUCACGCGCAUAUGAAUGAACAUUAUUGAACAUACACAUGCAGAUGACCAAACAGACUGAAACAAGAUUUCGUACCCUUGACCCGUCAGAGCCUUCAACUCUGACUGCUUCUAUUUGAAGCCUUAAUUCUCCAGAAUUCACUUUUUCUAGGGGGAUCCACACAUCCCUGACUGACCCUUCGACCAGUCCCUCUAAAUUAACUCGUGCGCUGCCAAUGUUGUCAUCGCCAAAUGUGUCUUCAUUGAAGCAUUUUAUCAUCAGGUAUUCACCUCCUCCAAUCUCAUCAAAUUCAAACUUCUGAUUCCAGACGGGAUUCAAAGCAUGAGCAGUCCUUGUUCUCUGGAGAAUCUGGAAAGAAGGUUACGGCAACAUAUGGUGUUUAUAACGUUAGUUUCUGCAAUAUAUAGACUUUAAUUCACAAGUGAGAGGAAACUAUUAUGGGAGGAAAAAAAUCCUACCUUUCCAUAUUGCAGUUUAACAUAUGGAUCACACUUUCCAUAUCUGUCUUUUGAGACGAGAUCUUUUCCUUCCAUAACAGAUAUGUGAACUUUCCUUCCAGUUCUUGGUAGAAAAUUUGAUGACCCAAACAGUGAUCUUUGCGGGGCAAGACGAGAGUUGUCUACAUGUGAACCAUCAGAGAAUUGCCAUUCUUUUAGGACAAGCUUCACUGUCAACUACAUGAUGCAUUGAGAAAAAACAUUUACUGUUAAAAUUAAAUAAAAACAAGGGAUGUAAAUCAGUCAUAAAUCUUCAAAUGUGUUACCUCCCCUGAAUUGACCCCCUCAAAUGGAACAACCAAUUCAACUUCUUUUCCGCAAAACUCAGCAUGUUUUGCUAUCACGCCAGAAUGAGGUCCUAUUGCCCAGAAUAUCGUUGAAUCAUCCUCAACAUACUUCACCUGUCCACGGGGAAGAAAACUUCAAUUUAGUUGACACUCAACAAGUUGAUGAUAACUUCUGCGCAGAGAAUAUAUAUUAUCAAGUGUUUCUUGUCAAAAACAAUGAAAAAUAAUAAUAAUUUCUGUAUCGUAACUGUGACUAUCAUUUCAAAAAAUUAAGUUUUGCAUCCUAGAAAUAGUACCUUAAUUUCACAGCUUGCCAGAUAGUCAUACUUCACAGUGUUUGGCGUACACUCAUAAAGAUGAAAUCGAAGAUUUCCUGUUUCCUCAUGUAACACCAUAUUAAACUUAGAAUUCCAGCUAGGGUUUGAACCCAAACUCACACCUGUUUUUCUAGUUAACUCUUCAAGUUCAACUUCCACAAAUGUCCGCAGAUCUUUAUCAACAAACUGCUCAUCUGAACUUCUCUCGAACUGUUUUCUGGAGGGGCUUCCCUUCAAACCAUUCCUAGAAAGUUCACUUGCUGAAAUGACUGUCACGUAUAUAAUUCCUCCAACGGCCUUUUUCCUUAGGUUUACAGCUGGCAUAGUGUAACAACGUCGGCGAGGUUCAACCAUCGUCUUAACUAAGGUGUCAGUGAAAAUUUUAACCUGUAUAGCAAGCAAUAUAUUAUUUCUCGAAUUAUCAAGCUUUGCAUGAAAAUGUGGCUAGAUGUAUGGUUUUGACCAGCUAAAAUUUCAAUAUUAUCUAGUUGAGUGAUUAUUUACAGAGAGACUAUUAGCUCGUUUGGAUGUGCUUUUAAAAUGACUGAAGGCGCUUUUGGUGAACAUGUUUUAGAAUUAAUUCUUAGUAAAAAUGCAAGUAAAUCUUGGAAAAGCACUUAAAGUGCUUCCUGGAAGAAGCACAUAAUUGGGGCUUCUUGCAGAAAGCACUUUAAGUGCUUUUGGAAUCCAAAAACAUUUUCUCUAAAAACGCUUUUAGUCAUUUUAAAAGCACAUCCAAACGAGCUAUAUGAACAAUUCCAGAGUGAUAAGUCGGGUCAACUUAAGUUAAAGCAGUCUAAAUUAACUUUCAGGCUUAGGAGUCAAACCAGCCAAGAAGAAACGCCUGGAAGCUCUGUAGCAGGCAGUGACUGGCUUCCACCACUUCCAAAGGCAACUCCUAUCCUCACUUCCGGAGCUGACAGAAAUGAGUACAAAAUUGCUUUCCCAUUCAAGACCGGCAUCAGCAGAAGCUGCAAAAAAGGCAAUUUAAUGAAUAUACCGACCAAAAAUAUGAAAACCGCACAGCUUCUAAUUUCUUUUAAUAGAAACCUUUCAAGCUGAAGCAUAUGAGAAAUUGGAAAAGGAAACGACUUUACAUACAUCGCCUUUGAUGUGAAGACUAUUUAUAACAAUCCGUGCUGUCCCCAUCAAUGGCUUGGCAAGCUUUGCUUGCAACAAAAUACUCAUAUCAUUUGUAUCCCAGUCAAAACCCAAACGCAUAAGCCGCUGCCAAAAUUAACAUAGGCAGUGCACAUGAUGAUGUCAGGAAUUUAGUAGUCAUAUAUCAAUUGCUUCAAGACAACGCUGCCAAAGCAGCGUACGUACUAAAGUGUGAGAACUGUAAACAGAAGCCAAACCUGAUCACCUGAAGUUGACCAACGAGUCCCAUGAAGGCCCAAGCUAGGCGGGGAUGAACCUAGUGAAAACUCCAGCAAUUCAACUUUUUCCUACAUGAAAAAUGUUCACUCGUUAAUUACUCAUAAAAAACACCAUACAGUAAGAAUGAGUUCAAAUAUUCAAAUUAUUAUAAACAAGCAAAAGGGAUAGAUCGCUCACUAUAAGCCUUGAUUUUCUGUGCUUCAACCGUUUCUGCAUAAAAGAAACUUACACAAAUUAGCAUGAUCCAUUACCAAAACUUGUCUUCGUGAAUGUUUGUUUAAUGGACAAUCUUAGACAUCCUACCGAAAUCAGAAAAUGGCAACGAUAAUGAUCAGAACUUCUUUCAGCAUUACAAGCAUUCAGUUAGUAGAUUCAAAAGCAAUUUAGGAAAACCGACAGUCAGCGAGUAUCUGAAACUUUAAGACGACUGUUCUAGCAUUAUAGGAUGACAUAAUCAUAGAAUGCAAGUGGGAGACAUUAAGUUGUUAACCUCGUACAGAAAAAUUAAUAUAACCGGUUGAUACACAAGGACACAUUCUCACCUCAACAAUGGACGAAAACCUUAUUGAUAGCUUCGGGUUCAUAUAGUUGGGCCAUAUUUCCAUCACCAGCUUAUUCAGCCACUCGCAGUGUUCCAGUGGAGUUAUAGGCUACAUAAAUCACAAAGCGAAAAUUCAGCCUCGAUAAAGCUCAAAUGUCAUACAAACCAAAUAAAAUUCCGGAACAAAUAUGGUACCGAGGUGUUCAAUAUGACUCUCUUCCAUUGCUUGUUCAGGUCUUCAACAAGUAUCCGACGUUGAUAGUUCCCGUACUGCAAACAGAAUCAGUGACAGCUUAUGUUACAUCUCGGUAUGAUUUCGACAUUAGACCCUUAAAAAUUGUGAAAUGCAACAGAACAGGAACAGUUUCUAAAUCGAAACAUAAACGAAAACGAUUGGCACUCGGCAGUAGAUAAUCAUAACCAAUGAAUAAACCAAAACCAAAAAGUAAAUUAAACACCAUAUUCUCAACAACUGGUAACAAAAGUAAAACAGUUAAAAGUUCUCCAAGCCAAAAAUCACAUUGACCAAAUUGACCAAUUGAACAGUAAAUUCUUUUUCCACUAACACUUAUGUAACCUACAGAUAUGGAUCAUCCAGAGUCCGCACAGUUCGAAUCUCGCUCUCCGUAGUUUAGAUGAAUUUAGCGUAGACUAUUGCUCUCGAAUCGAAAAUAUUUCAAAUACAUAACACAAUUACACAAAGAAGCAAUUUUACCUGUACGGUUGCCCAAACAGCAACAGCAAGUGGGACCCAAUUGGAGAAGGAGAAAACCCAUCUCUCAAAAGCCCAGGCAAACAAAACCAGAGGUAUCAAAAAUGGCAGAAAAGGCUUCUCUGCCAUCACAUAGUUGAAGAACUCCACUGCAUCCUCAAAGCUCAACCUUCUCCCUUUCCUUCUAAUCAUCUGAGCAGGCAUCUAAAUAAACCAACUUUAACAAUUCACUUUUCCCCUAAAUAGAUACAAAUAUAUAUAUAUAAUAUAUAUGUAUAUGUAUAGAUAACAACUAGAAUCUCCAAAGUUUCAUGCUUUACUGAGGAACAAAAAAUACCCAGAAAUAAAAACAAAUUCUUAGGUAUAAGGUGUGGGAACUGGGGUUUUUGGAAUUUAGUUUGUGGGAAAAUGUGAGGAAUAUUUAUGCGAUACUUUGCCGGUUGAAGAAGCUUCAGACGGUGAAAUAAUCUGACAGAGAAAUCAGAAGCAGUUGGCUGCGUGGUUUACCAUUUUUAGAGAGAGAAACACGAGAGAAGAAAAGUCAAGCUAAAGAGAGAGACGGGGAGGAGGAGAAAAGAUAAAUAAAAUCCCCAAGUCUUUUGUUAACUACUACGAAAAGUGCUUCAACUUAAGCGCUUAUUUAUGGGGUGGGCCACACUGGAACCCUUGUUAUGGUAUUCGGCCUUUGAUGGUGGAGGAAUCGUGUGCUCUUCGAUGGAAUUCAUCCGACGGCUGAGGAUCGUCUGUGGGCGUAUGCCGUGUGACCUCAUUUGAAGAGCGGGUAUGUUUUGACCGGUGACUAUGUACAUGUCAGAACUUGUUGGCGGUUGCCUAUUGAACGUUGAAGCUGGACCAGUCCCGCUAACUACUGACUAGCUUUGGAAGGACAUUUUUGUCUUUUUAAUGUAAAAUUGUUUUUGUAUAACUGUCACACAAAAUAAUUAAUUUACUUGUUUUAUAGACUUAGCCUUUUUUUUUUUGAAUCAGGAUCCUCUUUGUGAGAAUCUUGGAGAUGCUCAAAUCACAUCCAUUCAUUAUACAUCGUGCGGCCAGUUUUCGUCAGAUACUGUUCAUAUUUAAUUUUAGAUAAAAAGAUUUACAAUGAUUUCUGGUUGCACGAUAUACGAUGAACAUAUGUAAUUGGAGAAUUUCCGAGAUCCUCACAAAGAGGAUCUGAAAAAGAUCAUCAUUCUUUUUAUCAUGAAGUAUUAUUGGCACUCCAAAAAUCUCAUUCUACACCCCUUGCAAAUGUAUUUUUUUUUCUAAAUAUAGAAUGUUUGGAGUGUAGAAUUAGAAUUAUGGAGUGCCAAUAACAAUUCCCUUUUUCUUUGUUUUUUAGUGAUAGUUGUAUUGCAAAACCUGCGCUUUAUACAUAAUUAGCUCUGACAGACUAUUUUAUGUAUCACAUAACAUGAUAGCACACGUCACUAACACACCAAUAUGUGGUAGGGUAAAGGGAUCCUCUCUGGAUCCCUUCCAUCAAAUCCAUCCAAUCCACCAAUCUGGGCCCUUGAAAUUUGAUCAAACGGCUAAAGUUAUUAUAACUUUUAAAUGGGCUUCCUGUUUGUAGUCAUUAGAUCAAAUUUCAAAGGUCCGGAUUGAUAGAUUUGAUAUAUUUGGUGGAAGGGAUCUGGAGAGGAUUCCUUUCCAUGUGGUAGUACCAAUUCAUACGCGUGAAUUAGUUUUGUCCGUACAUUCUAAAAUACUUGGAUCUAGAUUUGGUGUCUCUUUACAGUAGACAACAUGUCUCUCCACUUUUACUCACUAAGGUUUAUUUCGAACUUAGGACCAAGGAGUAUUGGAAUCUGUUUAUUGUGUAACCCAUUGACCAACACAAACCAUGGUCUCAUUUGGUCGUGGCUUUUUACAUGUUUAGUUUUUACACCGGUGAAGUACGCGAUGGUGAUUAGAGCACUUCCAGUGUAGGAAGAUUUCCUAGGCAAGAGGCAACUCAAUCCUCUUAAAUGUAUAGUAAGUGACUGCAAUGAAAAGUAACUGCCUAAGUGCAUCUUCACUCUUAAACUGAAUAGUCAAGGCAAUUCGUAUUAAAAUAUUAGUAUUUUUUAUUUUAUAAAAUAAUAAAAGAUAAUUUUAUUUUUAAUUUCAGAUAAUAAUAAAGAUUGGUUAAGAGUAUUUAAAAAUAUUUAAAAUGUAGUGUAAAGUGGAAGAAAUGUAUUUAUAGAAAAAAUAUAUAAUUUUUUAUAUUUUUAAUUAGUUUUUAAUUAUAUUUUUAAUAAUUCAAAUUGUCGCUAACGUCAUGAUAACAUCACAUAGGCAGGGCACUAAGCUAGAUAAUUAUUGUCUGACUUCUCCAUUGGGCUCAUAUUGGGUUCAAUUGCCCAAGUGGGCUAGAGUGUUUUGAGGGAGGGAGAAAGUGGAUUUGAUUGCAUAUUCCUAAGGCAAUAAGCAAUGGUAGAAUUGCUCUUAGGUAGAGUUGAAAUGUCUCUGUAAAUUUUUUCUGUCCUCGUAAAGAAUUGACUAUCAUGGAAAACCAUUUUGCCAUUUUAUAAAAAAAGAUAAACAAAAGAAAACAAAGGUGGAAAUUGUGACAACCCAUCCCGAAAUAUAUUUUAUCGAUGGUGUGAAAUGACUUAUAAACCCUUAAGCGUUGAAUUGUGUGUGUGUAAAUGGGCUAAGGUUUGGACCAAUUAGUUCUAUUCAUAAGUAAUUGGACCCAAUUAGAACUAAAGGAUUUAAGGUUUUGUUUGAUUGGCUGCAAACUGGACCACACACACACCCAAACUCCCGUUGACCCUCUAUCUCUCCUCCUUCUCGAAUUUUCCAUUCAUCCAUACAACCCGUACAGUCAUCAUUCAACCAACUUCAUCCUUCACGGAUCGACGUCAAGGAGGUGGUUUUCAUGUUCCUUGUGAGUCCAGGAGUCGAACCAUAGCUUUAGUUGGACGUGAGGACGUCGGGAUCUCGAGAUAUCAAGGAACUUCGACGAGGUGCACUAUACAUCUAUCAUGAUUGCAGUGGUUUCAUCAAGUUUUAGGACCCUAGGAAGUCUUAAAACUUCUUCACGAAGCUUUUAGAAGAAUUUUGGAAGGUUUUGGAUGUACGGAAGCUCGGGUUUGGCGAGUUGCAGAGGUGGCCGGAUUAUCGAAGUUUUCUCGACUAGAUUUAGUGGAUUUUAGGACCUAAAAGUGGUAAGGAUAUGUUCCUCUCAUCCUAAACUUCAUUUUGGUGCAAAUUUCAUGAAUUUUGGUUGAGAAAUGAAGAAGAUAUUGAAGUUAUAAGAUUUUCCAGAAACUGGCGAUCGCAGCGAUACCGGCACCGGACUUCGGUGAACCAAGGAAGUAGAAGGAGCAUAUUCCGUCAAUUUUGACGGAAUAUUCUUAACAACGUCAGUUAUAUAUAGUUGUAUAUGCUGAUUUUUAACGGAAUAUUCCCUAACGCUGUUAGGGAAUCCGUCAGUGUGCCAGGCACAUGUCUGCACAUGAGUCGCACGUCUGGCUAUGCAUUGGCCAGCGCGUGAGGGCGCAUGGGUGCUCGAAAAAUUUUUCUAAAACUAUGGGGAUGUUCGUGGGGUUGAGUAGACCAUGUUAGUAUAUUCAAACACCCCAAUUGAGUAAUGUAUAAGAUGUUAUUACCUAGUUUUGGUUAUGUUCUUUAAAAUAACGUUUAUAUAGUUGUUUCGCAUAUAGGUGAGACCUACCCUGAGGACGAGAGCAAUCAAGCAAGACUCGGGGGCUACGACCCUUCCACAUAUCAGUGAGUGGGCUUUUGGUUUUCAGUAUAUAUUUAUAUACUUGGUAUUUUUCCCAAAAAAUGUGUUUAAAUGAAAUUAUGUUUUGAAAUGCCAUGCAUAUUGAUUUAUGCUUAGACUAUGAAUUAGUAUAGUAAUUGCAUAUAUCUAUGUUCGAUGUUGUAUACGCUCAGGUAAGUACCAGGUGAGUUGUAGAUUGUUAUUGUGAAUUGAUGAUUAUGUGAGAUGUGUUGAGAACUCAUAAACAUGCACCUCGGUGUUAGUGCUCCCGCCCGUGGUUAGGGUACAAUCCUUCACGUGAUGUUCACCUCCCGCACCAUAUGCUCACUUUGGAUCCAAGUUAGGUGCACAGUCCUGUCGUACAUACCACUAUAGGUGGUUUCGACUCGUUGGUGACCUGCGAUUAAUCGCACAGUCUUCACGUGAUCGUAGCACUAUAGCGUAUUUAUUUACACCCAGUCCUGUUGUACAGACCACUUUAGGUGGUUCCAACUCGUGUGCAUGCAUACUUGUUGAGCUAUAGAUUCAGCCGUAUAGGCCACUUUAGGUGAAUCCGGCUGAUAUGUUAUUUCUCAUGAGUUAAUUCACCUGAGUUACUUAUUCAGUUAUUUUGAGAUAUUUGGCAUGGCAUACUUUUGAAUAUUACUAUUCUGAGCAUGGUUUUGAGAUGUGUGUGUGUGUAUAUAUAUAUAUAUUCUAUUUUAUAAGAAAUUAUACAGGUUUUAUGGCGAGGGGUUAGAACUUUUGAUAAAUUAAAUGGUUUUGAAAAACUUUGUUUUUGCCCACCCACACUUUCUGUUUUGCGCCCCUCCAGGUUUUAGGUAGGAGUGCUUGUUGGUGGCUUACGAGGAUUUGACGGAGAUUCUGACAGAUUGUCACAAAUGUAGGAUUUGGGUGUUGUAUAAUUAGUAUUCGUCAUGCUGGACUGCAUUUAGGCUACUUAUGCUUUGAUUGUGCAAUCACACUUAAUAUCACACUUGCACCUUAUCUCAUCUAGUGCUUUAGUUGGUUUAGUUUUUGUUUAUUCGUAUUUCUUAUAUCAAUAUUGCUUCCGCACUGUGCACAUGGUUACGUCACCCUCACGUGACGGCCAAUAUACUUCGAUCUAGGUUAGGGUGUGUCAAAAAAAUAUGGUUCCAAGUUUUCUUUUCAAUGUCCAAUAGAAUGUAAAAUAGACGUCGACAAUGUUGACACACCAGGAAUCAUGAAAAUGAUCGGUCUCACUAAUAUUAAUUGAUGGUGGUUGUUGGUGCAACUGAAAAAGACAAGCAAUCGCUUACACACCAUGUUUCUUUGCUAUGGUUGAAGGAUGAAGCUAUCAAAAUUGCUUUCAUUGUUAUCUUCAUUUUCCUUCAACAACAAUAUAUAUUGCUUUUCACCGAUAGUUAGAGCAUUGUGUUUCAUCCUCUACAUUUAAAUCCAAAUUCCUCUUUCUACUAAAUUUGUGUAUUUAUCCUAUUAUUUUUCCAAAAAUAAAAUGUCUUUUUUUUUUUUCGCUUCAAAAAAGUUUAUGGAAAGAUUUGCUAAUCUAACCACCAGCAAUAGGAUAAUACUCACAACCUCAAGCUAGAAGGAUUUACGCGUGAAACUUAACUACCAACUUUCACCAAUAUGAAUUUAUGUAGAAAUUUAAAGAUCGUGCAUUAAUGAGAACUUAUGGUUUGGGAGCAAACCACAAACACGUCCUUAUCAACUGAACCAACCCUCGUUGGCAAUAAAAUAUUAUUUUUUCAACUUAAAAAGUAAACAGUAAGUUGUUUUACAUUCCAAAAAGAGUAAUUUAGAAGUGUUUUUAAAAUAACUGAAAGCGUUUUUAGUAAAAAUAUUUUUGAAACCAAUCAUUAAUAAAAAUUCAAGUAGAUCUUGGAAAAACACUUUAAGUGCUUCAUAUAAGAAACACAUAUCAUGUACUUCUUUAAAAAAAAAACAUUUACAGUAUUUUUGGAACCUAAAAUCAAUUUCACUAAAAAUGUUCUUAGUUCUUUUAAAAGCACUCCCAAAUAAGAAUAGACUCCUUCUCCUCACUCCUUCGUAAUAAACUUUAUUUUUUAAUUUUUGGAUCAAAUACUAGAUUAGCUAAAGUGGUUGAGGAUGCAAUAAAAAUUAAAUAUAUAUAUAUAUAUAUAGAGAGAGAGAGAGAGAGAGAGGCUUGCCAUUACAGAUCAUGUUCCUAAAUAAUUAGGAUUUGGAUCCUUUCAUGAGCUUAAGGAGAUGAUCCUCCUGAUCAAGAUACUUGGAUAGUUGGAUUUUCAUCCAAUGGUUAUAAAUAGGAGGAUCAAUUUAAAGUUAUAAUAAUUAUAGUAGUUGGAUUUUCAUCUAACGGUCUACGUGUUUUGGUCAGGAGGAUCUCUUCCUUAAGCUCAGGAGAGGAUCCAAAUCCAAAUAAUUAAAGGGAGUUUUAACGAAAAACCCACGAUACUGUUCACUUUAACAAAAUACCACAUUUUUACACUAAAAAGUCAAACCUGCUACUAUUCACUUUACCCUUUAUUUUGUCCUUAUCAUUAAAACUCAAAAUUUUCAACCUCUUUUCGUUAGUUUUCCUAUAAUUAAACACCAAAAGACCAAGACUUUUCCCGUUUAACAGUUCUACAGAAGCACGUCGCAUAAAAAAUUAAAUAACAACGAUUAUAAUAAUAUAAACUUUUCAAGAAUAAUUUCUGCAAAGGAUACCCGACAACGACCCUAAUGUUUGUGUUCUAAUUAAAUUCAGAUCAAUCCAAUUCCAUCAGCGUAAUGACAUAAGAUAGGAGUAGGUCAGUGGUAUCCUUUUGCUUUCACACAAAUGUUCAAGUAAACAUUAUCAUCUGCUAGGAUUGCUAUUUAAUAAAUUAAUUAAUUACUCAUUAUUGUUGCAGUAUAAUCAUGCCCUUGGAAAGGAAGGAUUAUCAUUUUUUGAAAAAGAUGAGGAUUAGUUGUGAGACACACUUUACAUCGAAUUUCAAUGAUUCAAAUCGUCUAUUUUGUAAGUCUUGAUUCAUAGAUUAUCUUUGCAAAAAUUCCAUUCAACCCUAAACAUUUCUUCAUUUAAUUAUACGAUGAAAUUUCAAUGUUUCUUAUACAAUGUUCAUCAAUUUAUUUGAACUCAAUUAGAUACCUUAAAUAUUUUAGAUUUAGCUAAUAUGUUGCAAGGAUGACUUAUGAGGUGUAACUUGAAAAAUAGACGGUUCAGAUCGUUAAAAUUCGAUUGUGAUGUUGGUCUCACAACUAAUUUUCUUUUAAAAAAAAUAAAGAAUCUCUUCCCUUAAAAGUUUUGCAGCAAUAUAAUAGUAGUAUUCUCUCAACUAGUAAAUAAAAGUUUUAAUUUUGUGUUCAACUCACAAGAAUAACAAGUUUGAUAUACUCCGCUAUAUAUAAUUUAAUUUAAACCUCGCCCGCCUUAAACUAGAGCAUGUGACAUAUCUAAUUAAUUAAAGAAGAACAAGGGAAACUUCUUAUUCAUCAAUUAUCAUCAUGUACGAUUUAUAAUGAAAUAUUUCAUUGACUAUAAGACGCCACUAACAUAUUUUGCCUUUUUACUUUUAGAUAUUUUGGUGGUGUCACUGUCACGUUUAUCAUCCAUAGAUACGAAAAAAGAAAAAUAAAAAAAAUACAAUUAUUAAACUAAGCACUUAAAACGCAAGUACUAAAAUAAUCACUGCUAAUAGUCUUGGGGCAACUAAGUCAAUGCCAAGUCGGAAAAUCAUUCCAAAAACAUCAAUUAUUGUUAAGAAAGAAGACGUUUUAUCUUAAGUUCUUUGACAAUGAAAGAAGUAAUUCAACUUUUUAUAAGUCUAGUUUUUGCAAUGUAUCUUAAUUUUCUGAUAUGAAAUUCACUCUCGACGAGCUCUUUCAACAAUUUACAUGUAAAGUUAUUUGAAUUUAACACAUAAAAAACACUAUUGAACCGACGUGGAAGCGCGUAGACCAUAUAUCAACUAAAUGUAGAGGAAAUAUAUAUUGAAAUCUUAAAGAAAAGGAAGCAGAUCGAAUGAAGUUUGUUGGUGAGCGGAUCACAUAUGUAUUAAUCAUGCCAUGUUCUUGGAUUUCUUCCCGGCCGGCCGCGGCCCGGGGACUUUACAUCAACUAAAGUAUACAUACAGCUUUAUGGACCACAGCUUGGCACUCGAGCUUUCGCAUGCUGACAUGCAUAUUCCUUCUACACUUAAACUUGCUAAAUCACAUGAAGUACAACGACACCAACAAAUCAGUUUUUUAUCGAAAAAAAGAAAGGAACAAAUUAACUUUAAUUUCUAUCCAUGGCUUCUUUUUCUUUCUUUUUUUUCUUACAUCACUCGCUCGUCAACCUAGCUCAUUACUUCAUGUGCAUAUUGGAAGCAUUCAUCCAGUUGAUGCACACUUUUAGGGUGUGAAUACAAGUAUUGUAUAGUACAACUAUAAGGAUCAUUAUCUUAACAUGUUGGCUACAGUGCUAGCAAUUUUUGCGUCUAAUUUUAGCAUUUGGACUUUUUUACUUAUGUCGCUUUUUUACACACAAUGAUCGACGAAAAAUAGAAAAAAGCAUUAAAGGUCUUGCUUUUUGUGUAAAAAAAAUAAUAUGUGUCAUGUGAAGAAACGAAAAUGUUCAAAUACAAAGAAAGUUUAGUACAAAAGUUGCUAGUAUUUCUAUAUAUGUAAACUGUGUACAUGAAUUCUUUUAAAGGAAAACUAAUAAAAAUGGCUUGAAAACUUUGAGAUUUAAUGAUAAUGACAAAAUAAAGGGUAAAGUGAAUAGUAUCAGGUUUGACUUUUUAGUGUAAAAAUAUGGUUUUUCGUUAAAGUGAACAGUACCGUAGACUUUUCGUUAAAACUCCCUUCUUUUAAAGAUAAUGCACAGUGUCAAAGUGCACUCUGGCAUAUAUGAAUAUUUAUCUUAUCAUGUUGACCACCAUAUAAGUGGGCAAUACAUAUAUGUAAACUAAGAGAUCAUUUGAUAGUCAUUUCGUUUUCACAAUCUCUAAAAACAUGGACAUAAAAAAUCAAUAUAUAAUGUGAAUAAUGAAAAAGAGUAAUGCUACGUAGAUUUAAAUUAAAUUUGCAACCAUAUGAUGUGUCACCAAUAAGAAAUAAGCACAUUAAUUAACACUUAAGUAAUAGUCUAAUAAUCAAUAACAACGUCAUAUGAUUUACAAAAUUUAAUCUAAAAGUUAGUCUCCCUAACAUUACAAAAAUAAAAAUAAAAAUAAAUUUUAUCGGUUAAUAUAUAGCACUAUGCAUAUGAUGAAUAUUCCAUUCUCCAUUAACGUGUAAAGGCUGCAUAUAUACCAGCAUAAACCGACGAGUUAAGGACCAUCUCAACUCAAGAGAGCAUAGAAUAUAAUUAGGAUAUAUAUGGUGGUUGUAAACCCACUUUUGCAUCUUGGAUGGUCGGAAUGUUCUCCAAUCUUAGAGAUGUGAGUUAAAAAUCUCACAGCCUAUCGCUAACUCCGGCCCUUUUAAUUCAAGGCCUUAGGGUUUUCGGCAUGCGCGAUUGACUUCAGUAAAACUCAUACGAAUCUGAUACCAAAAGAUGUAAUCUACAAAGGAUUGAGUUUAACAAAUAUCAAAUAACAUGACUUAUUUAGUCAAGGAAGUAGUAGUCGAUAUUUGCAAACUAAAACCUUUAUAAUAUUACGUAGCAAUGUGAGUUUCGUGCUGAAUAACUUUUCGGCAUUAAGAACUACAUAUAGUGUGUUGUUGCACAAAACCAAAGGGGUUUUGGAACAACGUAAAUCCGAUCGUGAAUCUACAAGAAAGUAAAAAACACAAGAUGUAUCAUGGUUCACCCCAAUGUUUGGGCUACGUCCACACUGAUGUUGAUAUUGUUUCACUCUGAAUGGUGAAUAUAUAAUAAGGCUAGAGGUAGUGUGCUCUCUAGCCUAUUUUCUGUGGCCUAAGCCUUGCCCUCAAUCUUGACCUCUCCCAAUGAGGAGAGUGAGGAGUCAUUUUAUAGAAUAAGGGCUCCUCACUUAUUAUAUAUUUGCUCCUUCAUUUAUUACAUAAUUACAUUUGAGACCCCCUAGUAUUUAUACGAGAUCUAAAUACGGAGGCCCUAAGUAUGGUACAAACAGUAGUCCCCCAAGUCUUCAGUCAAGAGAGUCUUUUGGCCGGAGACUUGAAAUUCAGUCCAUGUGUGGGCCGAAGUAACUAGAUGUCGUCUAUAACGGAUACUCGAUAUGAGGCGGUACCCAAUCUGAAAUUAUGCUCAACUAGAAGUAGCACAUGUUGUGAUGCUGCUCUGCUUGUGGUUUAUGUUGCUUUGGUUGGCUCGGCUUGUGGCGUUGAAGGUGAGGGAGUCCAUUUUAUAGAAUAAAUGAUCGCUCCUCAAUACAUAAAUGAUGGGCUAGAGUUGAUGCUCGCGGCGAUGCUCUCUAAUAAUGGUGAGGGAGUCCCUUUUAUAGAAUAAGGGCUCGCUCAUCAAAACAUACGUGAUGGGUUAGAGUUGAUGCUCGCGGCGAGGCGGUUGCUCAGCGGGCGGCGAUGUUCUCUAAUGAUGGUGAGGGAGUCCCUUUUAUAGAAUAAUGACUUAUUCCUCAGUACAUAAGUAAUGGGAUAAGUCCCCCAAGUAUUUUUCAUGAUGCCCAGUUGCAGAAGCCCAAUAUAUGGUACAUAGUGUAGUCCCCCAAGUCUUCAGUCAAUAGAGUAUGUUGGCUGAAGACUUCAAAUUGAAUCCAUGUAUGAGCCGAAGUGGCGGUUGUUCGGAGGCAGUAUAUGUAUACCCUGCAUUGAAGCUUUGUAGGUGAAGCUUUGCAAGUGAAGCUUUAAAGCUGGAGCUUUUGUAAAUGAAUCUUUUGAAACUGGAACUCUCGAAGCUGGAGCUAUGUAAAUGAAGUUUUCGAAGUUGAUUGACAUGACUGAUGCUUAUAAAUGUUUAUGUUGAUUGACAUGAGUGAUGCUCAUGGAUGUUGACAUGAGUGAUGGUCAUGAAUGUUUAUGUAGGAUUGUCAUGAGUGAUGCUCAUGAAUGUUUAUGUAUGAUUGACAUGAAUGAUGCUCAUGUAUAAUUUUGGAGUAUUUGACGUACUUUUGAUCACCUGGUUGGUGAUAGUAGCGGGCAAGCUGCCGAAUAAUUUUGGAGUACUGGACGUACUUUUAAUCACUUAGUGGGUGAUAAUAGCGGUAGGCUGCUGAAUAAUUUUGGAGUACUGGACGUACUUUUGAUCACCUGGUUGGUGAUAGUAGUGGUAAGCUGCCGAAUAAUUUUGGAGUACUGGACGUACUUUUGAUCACCUAGUGGGUGAUAAUAGCAGCAGGCUGCCGAAUAAUUUUGGAGUAUUGGACGUACUUUUUUUUUUUUUUUGUCUUCUUUACACAUCAGUAUAACUAUACAAUAAUUGCUCCAGUUUGCAGAAGACAACUUAAAAAUAUUCAUUAAUGACAGUGGGUAUAGGUGUGCCAUGCUUUCCACUUCCUCGGCUUUUCUCUAUCUCCAGACAUCUUUUCCUUUUUCAUUAUUUUCCUCCCUUUAUUCCUUGCUUUUGCCUUUUACUUUUACUUUGUUUUUCUGCUUUGCUUUUGCUUUCCUUGAGGGGGACCCAUAAGGGACUGGAGAUGAUGAUGAUAGGGGUGAAGAUGACUAGGCCGAGGACGAUGGCGGUAACGAUAAGAUUAACAUAGGAUGAUGAUAUGCUCUUUAAUUACUUGGCUACACCUGCAUUGCACAGCUUCUUUCUUCGAGCAAGUGGGUGUCCAUAGUAGUUUACCACCUGCAUAUUAUUCCCUCUGCCGCCUUACAAAAUGGGCUUGCUGAUUAACAAAUGUUUGUUGGGAGAGCCAAAACAGCCGUACAAAUUAGUGUUGAGAUUGACCACCGAGAUGUCGGUGGUGAAGAAGGUAUAUGGAUCGUUCGGGUAAAGCUUGAUCUUGUGUGGCUACAAGUUCUCCCUCAGGCCAUACAAAACGGCGUCUUUCGGCAAACUGGUGGAAACCUCGAGGUACGGGUCCUUAAACUCCAAUUCGCCAUAUGGGUCUUUCGAUUCAGAGCUUGAAUUGAAGAGGACCUACCUGUCGGACUUCCCCUUGAUGGCGAACCCAAAUAGGUCGAAGAUGUAGCUGGAGAUGAGCUUAGAGCCGGAGUACCCUAAGUGCUGGAUGGGGUUCUUUGUUUUCCCUGACGGCGUGAUGAUUUGUUUCAGCGACGGCGGCUGCUCUAUAGGGAUGAGGUUGUACGUAACCCCCACCUCUAUUUCUGCACGUCAGUUAUGUGGACCUUCAACCAGUCUUGCGUCUCGUGCCUGACAUAUAGCUAUAGAAGUGAGAUAUCGGGUCGUAGGUUUUGGACUCCUGUUUAAGCUGGAGGAGACCCAGAAGGCGUUGAACUCGUCAAGGCAAAUGAAGCCAUCAUUGUCGGUGUCGAGAUCGACCUUAACACGCUUGAGCUUGUCGUUUGAGACGUUGAAGCCGAGGGCCUUGAGGUCGUUGCCGAGCUCGUUGACGGAGAUCUUGCCAUCGCCGCUGGCGUCGAAGCUUUUGAAGACUUUCAGGACCUCGUCGGUGACUACGGGUUUGGGGCCUGUCGAGGUUAGGGCUCCGCUGGUUGCCAUGGUUGUUGGAAAUUUCUUGUGUAUUUUUUUCUAUUUCUCUUCCUUAUUCUUCAAGGGAUUCGAGUGAAAGUUUUAAACUUUCAAAUGGGUUUUCUGAAAUCUGAAAUGGGUUUUGCUUAAAAUUGAAGAGAAAUGAUUGGAGUGGGAGUGAGAGAUGUGGUGGGUUUAUAGUUAAGAGAGUAGAGAGAGAGUGAGAGACGAGGUGGCUCCGUGGGUUUUCUGGGAAAGCUUUGGGUUCUUGGUUUCUGCAGAUUCAUGACGGAGGUGAAAAAUUGAGAGAGAACCGACAUGGGUUUUCGUGUCGAUUCCCACAGACGGCGCCAAAUGUUGAUGCACAAAACCGGAGGGAUCUUGGAACAACGUAAAUCUAAUCGUGAAUAUGUAAGAAAGUAAAGAACACAAGAUGUAUCGUGGUUCACCCUAAUGUUUGGGCUACGUCCACACUGAUGUUGAUAUUGUUUCACUCUGAAUUGUGAAUAUACAAGAAGGCUAGAUGCAGUGUGCUCUCUAGCCUAUUUUCUCUCUAGCCCAUUUUCUGUGGCCUAAGCCUUGCCCUCAAUCUUGGCAUCUCCCAAUGAAGAGAGUGAGGAGUCCUUAUAUAGAAUAAGGGCUCCUCAUUUAUUACAUAUUUACCCCUUCAUUUAUUACAUAAUUACAUUUGAAUCAUCCGAGUAUUUAUACGAGAUCUAAAUACGGAGGCUCUAAGUAUGGUACAAACAUAAUGCAUUCCGUGUAUCUUGAGAAGAGUGGGAGAUGAGAGAUUUGAAUGCAUGGAAAGCGUGUAGAUGGUUUAGAGAAGCAUGCAAUUGCAACUCAUAGAGAACUGCUAAGACGACAAUAUCCUAGCUGCCUAGAAAUGUAAGUACAAAAAUAAUCAAACUGCUUCUCCGAUUAGCCCUCAAAUUCCACCACCGCACCCCCAUCCCCAUACAAAUCUCAACGGUCAGUCCACCUGGCACAUCCCUACUGGCCCAGUUCGACAAUUUCGGAACCACCACCACACUCCUAUAUCCACAAUCCAAUUAAAAACCCCCGUACGUGGCACAAUACUACUCGAAAAGCCCACCCAUCCAAUCGUAGGAACGCCUGCACUCGAUCAGUCAUCCCUAAUACAUUCCCCAUAUUGCACACCUUCAAAUUUGAAAAUUUUCUUUGUUAUCUACAUGCACAUGCACUGAGUAUUGAUUUUUUAAAACCGUUAGAUCAAAUUCAACGAUCAUCGGUACAUGUAGUUCUCAAGAAACAUGUACAUUUAAAUUUAAUACCCUCUAAAUUUGUUUCAACAAAUCCCAUGCAAAUAGGAGCAAAACUUGUCACACCUACUUAUUUCCACCUCUAUAUAUAUUUCCCCUUCAUCUAAUUUCUUGUACUUUUGAGAGGCCCUUGCGCGCUUCCCUGCGCCCAAACAAAACUGUCCCCACAAGUGCCAAUAUUUACAAUGAGCCCACAUGCAAACGCAAACAAAAGGGACGUGAUCCGCACCAACAAUAAUCAUGGGACGUCGUUUUACCCUCCGCCCUUGAAGAUCAACAGGGACUCCCAUUUCAUCAAGAAGUCCUCGUCCUCGUCUUCGGCCUCGCCGUCGUCGUCAGCUUCGUCGUCCACAUCUUUCCUCGUGAACGCUGCGGCUGGGGUGAUCAAACCGCCCCAGCAACAGCGCCACCCGGUGAUUAUCUACACGCAUUCGCCCAAGGUCAUCCACACGCACCCGAGGGAUUUCAUGGCGUUGGUGCAGAAGCUCACGGGGCUAUCGCGCUUUGAGGAUGACAGGCGAGAGCCUCGUCCGCAGCCGCCGCCUCCUUCAGCAAAACGCGAGGUUAAUGUGGAGAGUUUGUUGGAGGAGGAGAUCAUGAAUAAUAAUAGGAUCACCGGAAAGGUUAUGAUGAGGAACGAGGACAACGAUUCGUCGUCGGUUAUUACGACGGAGGAGAAUUGUAGCAGCAAAAACAUUAAUAAUAAUAAUAACAACAACAAUAGCAAUAAUAAUGUAGGGAGCAUCGUAGGUGUAGGAGGAGGAGGAGGAGGAGGGGAUGGUCAGGUGAAUUCCUGCUUCGUGCCGCCUAAUCCUUACCUCGGAAACAUUCCGGUUUUUACGCCAAACGCCACCGAUUUCUUGUGCUCCAAUUCCAUCAGCCACCUCUUCACAGCAAUAUGACGAUCAUCCUGCAUGGUGAUCAUGAUUCAUGAUCAUGCGGCGGAGGAGGAGGAGUACUACUUUGUGAUGGAAUGGCCCUGCCUACGCGACUAAAUUGAAGGCCUGCCUACGUGACUAAAUUGAAGGGAAGGAUUCGCCGUUUUUGUUAGAAUUAAUGUUUGAUUAUUUGUUGGUUUUUGUUUUUCAUCGAUUUUUUGGAGUUAAUGUGGAUGCCUGCAAGCUGCCAAUAAAAGUUCUAAUUUUCUGAGGUAGAACUUUUUUUCAAUUCUUUUUGUCAAUCAAAUCGUUGUAAUCUGAUAAUUAACUCAUGUUUCUGACGGCUUCUUGUUUAUCAAAUCGAAAUGGAUGGAUGGAUGGAGGAGGAAAAAGAUAAAACGAGCCAUAUUGACUAGAACAGAUGUGCUACUUUAUGAAUCCUAAUUAAAAUUUUAUCCCUUAAAAUUUAGAUUAAAUUAACGUAGCAGGUGCCCACCCUCAUGCACCCUCUUCUGGAAAAAUGAAAAUUUAUGGACUUUAAUCGAUCCAAAAAUGGCAGCAGGAAGCAGCCAUCCUCUGUUAGAUCAUUUUAACAGUUGCAGAUUGCAGAAGCAGCUUUACGAUUUAUCCUGGCGGACUGCGCCGGAGAAGAAGCAGUUAAAAAAUUAAGUAUUAAUUGGACAAACAAACCUUUUUAUUUAUUUAUUUUCUUUCUUUUUUCCUUAAAUUUCAUACGAGGAGCUUAUUUCGACUUCCUCGUUAAGAUAUACACACACACUUUCUCUCUAUGUAGUACAGAAAAACGUUACCUGGACAUAUAUUAUACAUUUCACAAAUAGUUACAUCAUCAUUUCUUCUUCUUCUCUUCCUUUUCUCUUUCAAGAAUAACGGGCGCCGCUGGUAUGCUGAACCACCACUCUCGCAAUCUUCUCAUCCAUCUCUCCGUGCUCGAUCUCCUCAUCGGCGAAUAACAUGUAAAAGUCUCAAAAAAGAUAUAUAGAACAAUAUACUUGACGGGCAUGAAAGCCAGAGCCAAAGCCAUAACUAGAAGAGCUAUCGCAAAUCUUUCGCUCGCCUGAUCAUCAUUACACACAAUCAUUAUCCACGGUCAAUGUGCUAAAAGUAUAUAAAUUAACUGAAGUAGAAAGGUGGAGGAACGAGCAAGGAAUAAGAGAGCGGAACCUGAGGAAAAAGGGACAGCAACAAGGCACGUAGCUUGAGAAGAACAACGUUCCCAUCCUGGAUGAUCUCUUCAGCUUGAGAUAUGGCAUUCUGAACAGCCAAAAGCUGCUCCAUCGUAUUCAUCGCUGGAGGUGCUAACACCUUAACCUCGUGAGUGGACUUUCCUUGGCUAAAAUAUUGAGUGAGAACCAUGAAGACCGCCAUAAAGACGAGCAUCAAUGCAAAGGCAUAGCUCAGCCAUCCCCUGAAAAGUGCACGUGUGUCAGUCUACAGACAAAAUUCCUACCGGUUUUAUGUGUGGAAAGAAACACUAGAGUAUCGAGACCAUGAGAAAUCCCAUUGAACUGUAUUUUUUUCUCUAGCUACCCCCGUGUUCUCAUUUAGGCAGUUUCCAAAAAAUUUAGUACCUACGAAUUUUCACUUGGAGGGCUUGUUUCUGUCUCUGAAAACCAUGUUACAUUGAGUCAGCAUCAAAGUUUGACUCUGUUAUAAUGUGCGAUAAUCAUGCUUUUUAAAUAUUCAUUUUUUCCCACUCCCCCUACGUCUAAAUUAAAGACCAACCAGUAAAGGAAGAAAAUGAAAUUUCAAGCAGUUUACCUGCAAAUGAUGUAAGUGAAAACACAACAGAAAAGCAAAGACUUCAACGGAUCCUCCCAAAAUGCCAAAGAAAGCAGGCACUUCCCUAAUUCCGUCAUUGGAAAGAGUAACUCCUGCAAUUACUCAACAAAUUUAGACGACGUUGCCAGAAAAUGGAGUUUAACUCAUAAGAUAUGUAAGAGAAUAUAGGCUAAAUAAAACCUUAAAUAACAUUACAUUAUAACCAAAUACCUUCAUCACUGCAAAAUUUGUAUCGAUCCCUUCCACUUUGACUCCAUCUACUGUUGCUUGUGCUAGAGCCAUUUUUUCAUAGUUGUUUUUAGAUUCCUUAACUGCUCUUUCCAGCAAAGUAACUUCUCCCACAGUUAUCUCCCCCACGGCAAGCCCAGCCUCAACAGAAUUAUUAGAACUUGUUCCAAAUGCAAAUCCCAAGUUAGAGAUCAUAUCCAAGGCUGAGAUUGAAUACAUUCCAUCUCCUGACUUAGAAUUGUUAGACCCAUCUAAUUUUUUAAAAGUUGACAAAUCUGCCAUGGUUUCAAGUAUCAAGUCUCCACCUGGUAGUUGAUCACAAAGAUUGAACAUUAGAAGACCCUCAUAGCAUAAAUCAGUUUGAGAGAUAAUUUCUUGAAUUGCUUGUAGUCGCAGAAUUCCAAGCACUGCCUUUGAAAGUGCUUCAUCCUUUUUUAUCCCCUUGAUCUGGUAUUUAUUUAUAAAUCGAUGAACGUAUAAAAUCUCCCGUAUGAUUGCUAGCCAGUAAUCACGACGUGUAUGCCCCUUCAGCUCCGGAAACUCUAUUAUAGCUGGUUCUGAUCUACAGAAAAGACACUACUGAAAGUUGAUAAUCAAGUCCUAAGAAGACGACUUUCUUUAAUAGCUACAUAGCAGAACAAGUGUAGAGACCAAAAGCACCAAAAAUAAAAGGUAAUGCUUAACUUACAAUGAAUUUGAUUUAUAAAAGACUGCCUUGUCAAACAGUCUAGUACCCCAUGGGCCAGUCAACUCAGCUUUCACAAGCUGUUUUAAGUCAUCUGAUAGAUCAUAUCGUUUUGCCUUGUCAUAAGAUACAACACGCAGGGCCUCGAAGUAAAGUGCAUGGUCUGUCAGAAUUAACCUUCCUGCUUACAACACAAUUAAUUUCGCAUUAAUAAUCUUCAUGUGCAGUAAAUCCAUAAUAAGAACUGACAAGGACGUGAGCCAACAAAGAUAUUUGAAUUGUUUAACUAUCCAUUGACGUACCAGGCCAUGUAGAAAUUCCUACAUGCUCGAGAACCGGUUGGGUAGUGACUGUUCCAUCCACUUCCAGAAUCUUCUCUCUUUUUGAUGAUCGCAUGGCAGAAAGAAGUGAUGACUCUGAUUGGCUUUUCAUUUUUCUUAUUGAUCUGUACGAGAAAAAUUUCAAAAUCGUAGGACUAGUUAUGAGUGUCUGAUACGCAGUACAAGAAAUAUGCUUCCAGAAAUUCCAUAAAUUUGAACUUUGAAAUUUAUGAAAAGAAAAUGCAAGUUUGAAGGGGAGAGAGGAAGAAAAUGCAAACUCAAUAGGAGAGAAUGUACCUUUCUAGUCCACUUAGGUACUUGUCAUAUGUGGACAACUGAAGUCUCCCAUUGCUAGAAGAUGCAAGCACCUCAAAAAGAUUUUCACUGAUAAUCACAUUUGCAAUAAUAGGAACUGCUGGAGCUAUUCUACAGAAAGCGUCUAACCCAACGGAUAAAUCCUCAUCUAACUGCACAAAAAACGAGGACAUGUUGACAUUAAUAGAAGCAUUACAGUGCAAAGAAUCGUUUGAACGCCAAACUAUAACUUACACAUAGACAAAACAGGUCCGAUAAAAAAAAAUAUUUAACAUAAGAUUAGAGAUUGUAUGCUGUAUGUACAGUACUGAUAGGAAUAUCUGAGAAUCUACAACAUAAGAAAUAAGCUUCUAAGGAAAAAGAAAAAACAAAAUUUACAUUUCGUAAAGGUUGGCUAGAAACAGCCGGAGCCUCCCAAGCUAUCAUCAUGUCAUAUGUCAAGCGUCGAAACUUUUUAUCAGCCAGAUGACCUGUUACUUGAGUGGACAGAGCAAGUGCUCGGAAACAGCAGUAUUCCAAAAAGUUCCUAGCAUAACACGAUGGAUGCUUUAUAGAUUCAGAAGCCUCAGAAUUGAAGCCUUCACGAAGCUCAGUUGUAGGAACACCAAGGAUUCUGCAUCAUUUGUUUGUUAUCAUUAGAAAAUAGGAAACUAAUGAAAAAUGCUUGAAAAUUUUGAGUUUUAAUCGAAAUGAUAAAAAUGUAUCCUAAGUGAAUAGUACCAUGACUGACUUUUAAAGUAAAAAUGUCUUUUUCGUUAAAAGUGAAUAGCACCAGAAAAUCACUUCUCGAUACUAGUUACCACAUUUUGUUUGUGAUUCAUAUGAAGUUCCCAACAACAAAAGAAUAAUUUCCAAAGGAGCGAAAAACAUAAGUUGCACAUAUUUCAUCCAGUUCUACUGUGAUAAUAUAACAGUUGACAGUAUCAGGUGAACAGCUGAAGACUUACUUUGAACAUCUUCGGACAACUAUGUUUGCAAUUGGAGAUAGCUCUGGUACCCAAUUCGUCUGGGCAGAAGGGGAUUUUUCCAUAUCCUCCAAUUCUUCAUCAUAAGGGCUACGAUUUCCAAGCAACCAUUUGAAGGAUCCAUCUCUAACAAAAUUCUCGAGCAUAUUUGCCACAGCCAUCCCUAGUUUUUGCUCUUUCAAUGUGUUAUGAUUUUACUUAUCAUAAUUCAGAAACUACAAGAAGCAAAUUUUAGUCAAUUAAGUUUACUCUUUCAAUCUGUUAAGAUUUCAGCAAUCAUAAGUUCAUAGCAAAAUUAAGAAACUUAAACAACUGCAACACCAGCAAGUUCACAAAAACUACCAGAUCAAAAAAUCACUUGCAAUCCGAAAACCCAACACCCAAAUUCUACCAACAACAUCAUCAAUCUCUUCAACCUGCUACAAACCAAUUCUAAAUUACUCACCACAAUACCAAAAUUAAUCAAACCUAAUUCUCAAAUCCCACUAACAAACUAAACCCAGCAACUAAUAACACCCAAAAGCAACACAACUUGCCACAAAAUGCACAUUCAAGACCGCCGCUUUCUCAGCAAUCUCAGCUUUUGCCGAUGAAAUUCUUCAGAUUUCUGCAACAUUUCGCAAAACCCACCUCAGAUUACACGCUCCGAACCAAAAUCUACGAACCCACAUCACCAGUUUGCGAAUUAAUUGAAGCAAAAGAAGAAUUGGUCCGAGCAGCCACGUAUGAAGGUGUGGAAGAUCAUAAAUGUGUCGUGGUAUGGAGGUUUAUUGUAUUAUUCUAAGAGAAACUGAGAUUGUUAGAUAAGUACAGAAUUCGCGGCAACUGUGACAAAAGAGUUUUCGUCAUCCAAAAUACCGCCCCCCCGGGCUAGUAGCAGCAGGGUUGUGCUUCGCUCAAGGGUUUAAAUAUCGGUAAUAUCGGAAAUAUCGGUAGUCCGAAAACACGGAAAUAUCGAUGGAAAUAUCGGUAUAAUAUCGAUAUCGAUAAAAAUUACAUGGAAACCACGGAAAUUGUAAGAAAAACUUGGAAAUUUUUAUUGAAACUUUGCAGGAUGUUUAUUUAGUCAAUUAUCUAUUAAUUUAUCACAAAAAAUUGGAAGGAAAUGCAUUGCAUGAUGAAUUUAACAUUAUCAAGUUGAUUAUAUAGCGAGCUGACAAACAUUGUGAGUGUAGAAAAUAUGUAGUAAUUAAUGAAAGAAAUUUAAACACACCAUAAUCAUUUAUAUAUAAUGAAUUAGUACAAUAUUUUACACUUUAUACAUUGCAUGGAAAGAUACAUGAGUGACUUAGUACCACAUAGAGUUCCUAUGAGGUUCAAAAUUUUCACCUUGGUGUUUUUUAAAAUAUAGAAAUUUAUCUUAGAUAAUAAAUAUUAGCUUGCAAACCUUGCAGACAUCUUAAUGACCAUAUAAGGCUGAAUAUGUAAUCACAAACACAUCUGUAACGAGUUGGAUAAGGCCCAGGUACGUGGUUGACAAAGGAAGGGUUCAAAUAUAAUAUGCUUGCUUAGUUAAAAAAAACAAAAUAUUAUCUAAAUAAUUUAUAAUUUAUAUAACAUAUAUAUAUAUAUAUAAAAAAUAUAUCCUAAACUUUUAAAAAUAUAAAUGGAUGGCCUUCAUUAUUAAAAGUUAAAACCAUGUACCUCUUUCACGUCACUUGUCUAAAAGUUUUAGACUAAAACCAUCAAAGCCAAUGGUUUUGUUUUUUUUAAGUCUCCCGUCCCACCACCAAGGUUUUUUCUCUCUCUCUCUCCCCGCACCGUCCCCUCCUCCUCCCUCAUUUUCACAAAUCUCUGUUCCUCUCUCUCCCCGCAUCACAGAUCUAUGUUCCUCUCUCUCUCCCCGCAUCGUCUCCUCCUCCUCCCUCAUCUUCACAGAUCUCUGUUCCUCUCUCUCUCCCCGCACUGUCUCCUCCUCCUCCCUCAUCUUCACAUAUCUCCCCCUUCUCGAUCCUUCUCUCUUCUUCUCUGAGGCCCUCAAUCCUUCUCUCUUCUUCUCUGAGGCCUGACCUCUCUUCUCCCCCUUCUCCAUUCGACCCACACACACACAGAUCUCCCCCUUCUCCCACUCUCUCGAUCCUUCGCCCACUCUCUCGAUCCUUCGCUGCCGUUGAUCGUGGCUCUGGCGAAGUCGGACUUGGCUCAGUCGUCUCUGGUGGUGCGCCGCUGAGCAAGGAGUUGGCCCAGUCAUCAAUUUUUCAGGUGAGAUUCCAUUGAAACCCUAAGUCCUAAACCGACAUCACAUAUGUUGAAUCGUUGAUGCAUGCGUGAAAUUUGAAGCUUAUAUGUGAAAUUGAAGUUAAAAAUCGUGUUUUUGCAAGGUUUUUGGGACGAAAUGGGCUCGGGAAUAGGCACACCAUCUCCGGCGUUCGAUAUCGGAGGCCGAUUGCACCGUUCAACAAAAUAUCUCGAUAUUUCCAAAAUAUCGCGAUAUUAUCGAUAUUAUCGAUAAUAUCGCGAUAUUUGGACGAAAACCACACGGAUACCUAUUUAAAUAUCCAUUCCCCGAAAAAUCGAUAUUAUCGGCGAUAUUUCGCCGAUAAUAUCGAUAUUUAAAUCCAUGGCUUCGCUGAGCUAAGGUGCAGCAGAUGGUACGAUGCUGUCACCGCACGUGUCAACUUCAUAACUUGCCACGUGGCAGUUGUUUGGAUCAAAUGAGUUGACAGUACAACCAUUUGCAUCAUCACUUAUCUUGGAAAGAGAUCACUUCUGAAUCUCUUCCACCAAAGUUAUCAGAUUAAAUAAUCUAGAUCUUCUAAAUUUCAUCCAACAACUAUAAAUUAUCACAAUUUUAAGAGAUCAAAACAUGUGGGCUGUUAGAUGAAAUUUGAAAGAUCCGGAUCAGUUGAUCUGAUAGCCUUGGUGAAAGAGAUCCAGAUAUGAUCUAUUUCCAAGAUAAAAGACCAAGUGAUGAUGCAAAUGGUUGUAUUGUUUACUCUUUUGAUCCAAACAACCACCAUGUGGCAAGUUAUGAAGCUGACACAUGCGUUGACAGCAUUGUACCAUUUACUGCACCUUAAAACAAGUCCACCCCAAAGGGGUAAGCCAGCUCACAUCCUUCAAAAUGGCCCGGCACCCACAAAAAGUAGGUUGGCACCCAACCUAAGCCGUCUCAUAGGGCGGCCUAUAAUGUGUUGAGUCAUGGUUGGCUUAUGUGACGUCAUGUUGACGCCAGCGUGACAUCACAUGCCAUUAAAUUUUUUUUUUUUGCUAGGCACGUGUAAAACACACACGACUGGCUGCGCGUUCUGACAAGAAAAAGAGAGCGAGGCCCGCAUAUGCAGGCGGGAUAGGGGCGAGGGUCCGGAUGCCACGUGGCUCAUUCUAGAUCGUUGGAUUUCCAACGGCUAGUUUUUUUAGCCGUUAGAUUUAUAAUGGUAAAAAAAAAUUGAAAUUCAAAUCCAUUGCCUAGCCACGUGGCGCGAUCUGGACUGCUAGAUUUGAAUUCUUUUUUAAAUGUUGUAUACCAUAUUUAGGGCCUCGUAUAUUUGGGCAUCGGGCCUUGUAUUUAGGCCUCACACUAAAGCCCAUACUUUGUAAAAGAGGAGGAGCCCCUUAUUCUAUAAAAGGGGACUCCUACCCUCAUUCUAGGGGAGGCAAAAGAACCAAGCCUAAGAAGGCUAAGAGAAGCUAUCAUUACAUUCAGGAGAGACCUCACACCACCGAGGCUCUCCUCUCCCUUCUCUUCUUUCUCCUCCGGGGACUUCCCCCAAACACUUGUAUCCAUACACUUACAGAGAAACAGAAUCAACUACAGUGUGGACGUAGCCCAAACAUUGGGGUGAACCACGAUAAAAUCCUUGUGUUCUUUGUGUCAUUUACAUUUCAUGCAGAUUCACGGUCGGAUUUACGUUGUUCCAAGACCAUCCGAUUUUGUGCAUCAACAUUUGGCGCCGUCUGUGGGAAACGAUACUAAAAGUUGUGUCGGUUAUCUUUCAUUUUUUCACCUCCACCGUGAAUCUGCAAAAACCCAAACAAACCAAUGUUUCCCAGAAAACCCAUGGCGCUACUUCCUCUCUCAGUCAGUCGCACACAAACCAAAACAAAAAAGAAAUCCUCAAAUUUCGAACUCCCUUUCUCUCUCUACAGAUCACUUUCUCUUUUUUAAUUACUCUCUCUAUCUCUCAAUUCAACCCAGAAAUAUCCCUCAAAAGCCGAUCCACUGUUGACUCACUGGCUGUGCAGGACGUCGACUAAAACAGCAAUAUUUUUGCCCCACCACAGAUAAAUGGAACAUUUGCAGAUUGAUUUCAUGGCACAGACACUCAAUGCUUUCCCAGAACUUUUCCUCCGCCGCUGCUAUCGGGUCUUCCACGACGUCGUCUUCGGGGACGUACGGCGAGUCGAAAAAGGUGUGGGUGUGGACGGAGAGCAAGCAGGUCAUGACGGCCGCCAUCAAGAGAGGCUGGAACACCUUCGUCUUCCCCUUUCAAAAGCCGUGAACUUGCCGAUGAGUGGUCCUAUCUGAAAACUGGAGGUGGAGAAAACAAACAGCUCUUGUCAAACUGGCACUUUUCAGAGAGCUUCGUUUCUGAGUUGAAGAGAUAAACAGAGCAGCACAGAGACCUUCCCGCGACCGCACGGAGACACUCGUACAAAUGCCCGCAGGGAAUUCAUACACCGCACAACGCGAUGGUUUCGACUCACGACCACUCAAAGCCACUCUUACUCGACUCGGACCGAGACCUUCCCGAGGCGGCCUACGACGAGGCCGAUAAGGUCCACGUGGUGGGGAUCAAUGAGGCCGGAGACGAUAAUUGCCAAACGCCGACGUUUUCAUGGAAGAAUCUGUGACUGUUAACCGGACCCGGGUUCUUGAUGAGUAUCGUGUUUCUGGACCUGGGGAAUUUGGAGGGUGAUCUUCAGGCGGGGGCGAUAGCUAGGAACUCGCUGCUAUGGCUGCUGAUGUGGGCGACGGCGAUGAGGCUGUUGGUGCAGCUGCUGUCGGUUCGGCUCGGGGUGGCGAUUGAGCGACACCUAGCGGAGCUGUGUAAGGAGGAGUACCCGACGUGGGCGUGGAUGGUGCUGUGGGUGAUGGCGGAGCUUAAGAAAUGGCCUACCCAAGGCCGGACUUCCUCCUCCAAACCUUCAGCAGAUGCUGAUGGAGAUACCAAGAAAAGCAAAAGAUGAGAUCACCGUCCGCUGCCAAUGAUGAAAAUAGAGAUACAGAUAAGUUGUUUUACAACAAUACCAUUAUUAUUCCACUUUGGCGUUGUCUGCCAUCUGAAAGAGGAGAAAGAAAAGUAGUGGGAAACAAAGAGAAAGGAAAAAGCAAAAGAGAGAGAUGCAAGCUAUCACCAAGUUGGUUCAAGCAAGGCUAGAGCAACAAAGGUGCAGAGAUCAAGAAAAAAGCAAAAAAGCAAGGGGGAACAAAGCAGAAAAGAGAAAGCAAAAGGAAAAACAGAAAAGGAAAAGAGAAAAGGAGAAAAGCAAAAAAUCUUCCUAUUAUUAUGAUUUCUUAUGUCUGUCAGAUGAAGAGACAGAGAGUGCAGCAGAAAAACACUGCAAAAGCAUGGAAUAAACACCCCACCAGAAUGAUGUAAUUUAUUUUUCUUAUCUUUUGGACACAUAUGUAUAAACCCCAUCCGAGGGUAAUAUGUAUAAACCCCAUCAGAGGGUAAAAAAAAAAAAAAAAAAAAAAAAAAAAAAAAAGAACAACGACAAGCCCAAAAUAAAUGGGUUGGACUGGAAUGUUGUGGAGGGCGAAGGCCCAUAAGCCCAAAAUAACACCAACCAGGUGAUCAAAAGUACGCCUAGUACUCCAAAUCAUACAUGAGCACUACUCAUUCAUACAUAAACAUUCAUGAGCAUCACUCAUGACAAUCAUACAUAAACAUUCAUGACCAUCAUUCAUGUCAACAUUCAUGAGCAUCACUCAUGUUAACAUUCAUGAACAUCACUCAUGACAACAUCCAUGAGCAUCACUCAUGUCAAUCAACAUAAACAUUCAUGAGCAUCACUCAUGUCAAUCAGCUUCAAAAAGCUUCAUUUACAGAGCUUUAGCUUCAAAAGCUUAAUUUACAGAGCUCUAGCUUCAAAAGCUUCAUUUAUAAAAGCUCCAGCUUCGAAAGCUUCAUUUACAGAGCUCUAGCUUCAAAGCUUCACUUGCAAAGCUUCACCUACAAAGCUUCAGUGCAGGGUAUACAAAUACCGCCUCCGAACAACCGCCACUUCGGCCCAUACAUGGAUUCAAUUUGAAGUCUCCAGCCAACAGACUCUAUUGACAGAAGACUUGGGGGACUACAUUAUGUACCAUAUAUUGGGCCUCAACUGGGCCUCAUGAAAAAUACUUGGGGGACUCUAGCCCAUCACUUAUGUAUUGAGGAGAGAGCCCUUAUUCUAUAAAAGGGACUCCCUCACCUUCAAACGCCACAAGCCGAGCCAGCCAAGGCAACAUAAACCACGAGCCGAGCAGCCGAGCAGCGUGUGCUACUUCUAGUUGAGCAUCAUUUCAGAUUGAGCACCGCCUCAUAUCAAACAUCAGUUCAAGACAACAUCUAGUUACUUCGGCCCACACAUGGACUGAAUUUCAAGUCUCCAGCCAAAAGACUCUCUUGACUGAAGACUUGGGGGACUACUGUUUAUACCAUAUUUAGGGCCUCGUAUAUUUGGGCAUCGGGCCUUGUAUUUAGGCCUCACACUAAAGCCCAUACUUUGUAAAAGAGGAGGAGCCCCUUAUUCUAUAAAAGGGGACUCCUACCCUCAUUCUAGGGGAGGCAAAAGAACCAAGCCUAAGAAGGCUAAGAGAAGCUAUCAUUACAUUCAGGAGAGACCUCACACCACCGAGGCUCUCCUCUCCCUUCUCUUCUUUCUCCUCCGGGGACUUCCCCCAAACACUUGUAUCCAUACACUUACAGAGAAACAGAAUCAACUACAGUGUGGACGUAGCCCAAACAUUGGGGUGAACCACGAUAAAAUCCUUGUGUUCUUUGUGUCAUUUACAUUUCAUGCAGAUUCACGGUCGGAUUUACGUUGUUCCAAGACCAUCCGGUUUUGUGCAUCAACAAAUGUAACGGUUCAGAUUAAUUAUCUUAAUAAAAAUUAAUAAAAAAUGUUUAAAAAUUCAGAAAAAUUUAAAAAAAAAAUUCUAUAAAUACUGACACGUCCCGACCCCGAUAUUUCCCAAAUACCCGGAUAGGCACGUGUUGGCCGACACCUGAGGGUGACAAAAGUCAUUUAUUGAAUACAAGAGUAAUGAUUAGGAGGAAAUAAGCAUGAAUAAUCAUUAGACUCUAAAGGUAAUAAACAAAGUUUAAAGAAAUGUCUAGAGUGCACAGAAAACGUCCUAAUUCAAGAUCACAAAAGGAAAGAUCAUUACAAGAUAUCACACAAGUGAGUGAUAGACUGCUACUGAUAAGGGAAUACCUCGUACGUUGUGUCAUAGUCCUCAUUUCUAAGACCUGAAUGGAGGCGCAAAACAAAGGUGAGUGGACCAAGUUCAUAUAUACAAUAAUAAUAAAACAGUUAUCAAGAUACUAAUCCCCACAGUUUAUAUAAAUAAAACUACUAGCAUAAUAAGCGAUAGUUUUACUGAAAACCCUAGCAUGCCAAAAAUAUCUCAAAAGACAUAUCGCUGAAAAACAUCGCGGAAAUCAAAACAUCAAUCAUCUCAUAGACCGUCUCGUAAUUGCGGUGUGCUGCCCGUAAGAUCACUGAAUAAAUAUAACUCCUGGCCCUAUGCCAGCACCAUGGUCUCUGCAUCCGUAGCCAGAGAUUACCAACUUUCAGCCCAAUGCAUGCUCUGUGUCCCUCAGCCCGUAGCUAGGGAUUAUUUCUCUCGGCCUAUCUGCCAACACCAGAUCCUCGCCCCAGGCAGCAUAGUGUCCACUAGGUACGCACAAAUAGUUACGCCUCUCAUAAAUAACCACUUCAUAAUAUAAAGUAAUCAAUCGUCUAUACUAUAAAGAGAGGUUUCUAAAACAUGUUCUAGCAUCCUAUCGUCAUCCAUCAGAUAGUCUACCAGUUCAUGGUUUUUAUAUAAAAUACAAUAAAUUAAAAUAUAGCUUAAUAUAGGCCAACAAUUAAUUUCUCACAAAAAACAAGACGAUAAACAACAUAUUCCAUAAACAUGCUUAACAUAAAAUCAGUUCAUAAACUCAUAAGGUAUGCAUUUCAUUAUGCAAAUAAACUAUAAAAUUAUGCAAAUUUUAGAAAGGAUCCACUCACAGAUACUCCGUAGCAGCAGAAUUGUGCAGAAAAUGAUUAAGGAAAUCCCCACUAGCAACUUCACCUAAGCACAAAAAUGUACAAUUUAUCAAACUACCCAACUAUAGAAUUUCAACAAAUGGAAAUGGGUCUUGGGUUUGGAUUCGGAUUAGGGUUUAGGUUUAGGUUAAAUAUGGUUAAGACCUAUUGGGUUUUGGGUUUGGAUAGGUUUAGGAACAAAGGGGGUGGUUUGGGCUUGAGCCCAAACCCACACAACACACAUACAUACACACAAACACCCAUACAUGCAUACACAGCACACGCGCACACGCACAACACAACACACACACACACACACACACACACACGUGCACCACACACACUCACACACGUGUACUACACACACUUACAUACGCUUACACACACACACACACUCACACGGACACACACACACACACCAUACACACACAAUACACGCACACGCACGCACAUCAUAAUACACAUACACCACACACUCGCACAGCCCAAGCAAGGCAUGGCCCGCAGGCCAAAUAACCAACCAAAAAUAAGAAAUUGGGCUAGUCCAAAUACGGGCUAAGGCCUGUAAGUGGCCUGAAAUGGCCUGCGUGUUAUCGGGGAAGAAUGUCGGAGCUGCUAUAGCUUCGGUCGACGACAAACGUAUAAACCAAGCUCCAAAAAUGAAAAGGAAAACAUAGAUGAAAUGAUGGGAACGGGAAUAUACCACUGUGAGUCUGGACCAUGGUCAAGAAUGGCUGGGUUGAUUACGAAACUUGUCGGGUUCUGGAAAACAAAAAUAUAGUGGAUGCACAUAUUAGAACCUUCCAUUUGGACUAAUAACAACUCAACAAAACAAAAUAGAGCAGUGAGCCUCGCCUGAGUUCGAGUUUUAGAGAUUUGAAGCUCUCGGCUUCAAUGGCAGAACACACAGAGGUGUUCUAAUGAUGCAUGCAGGAUUACAGCUGAAUUCCUCAAGCCCCCAAGGAUUCUAGAUAUGUGGUUAAUCUGUUGGAUUUGAUUAGUUUUCGAAGAGGAAUGAAACAAGAGCUCUCAGAGCUUUAGAGAGAGUGAGAGUUCCUGUGAGAGAGAGAGAGAGAGAUGUCUGAGAGGGAGUGCUCGGGAAGAGAGGGAAAAGAAAAGAGCUGAGAACCUGCCACUUGGCAGUUUAGGAGAAAUGGGGAAUCUAGAUCAAUAGCUAGGAUUAAAUGAGAUAAGGGAUUAAAUUGAUAGAUUUAAACAUGUUUCAGGGAGGAAAUAGAAAUAUAAUUAAAAUGUGGGGGUGGGUGUAACAAAUACCUAACCAUCAUCUUCCACCUUACACCACAUUUCAAUAUUUUCAACACUUUCAACCAUAAUAGUACUUUCCGAUAAUGACACGUGGCGUGACAAUAUUGGUUAAAAAUCCUAUCUGAAAUUAAAACUUUUUUUUUUAUUUUGUAAAAAAUUAAUAAUAUUUUAAAUGGGCUAAGUGCGAGCGCAUUUUGUAAGGGUGGAGAUCAUUUGUGCCAGCUCAUUUUUUAAGGAUGGAGAAGCAUUUGGCCAAUUUACUGUUCAUAGGGUCUAUCAUUGUUCACUGAGUGGAUUAAAUAGGCUAAAUACCAGCGUAUUUUUUAGGAGUUGACUUGCUCUUGGCUCUUCGCCACGUUAUUAGGUUUGACUAAUUUUGUAAGUAUGACAAAAAAAUUUAGUUUGACUAAUUAAUUCGAGUCUUUCUUUUAGGGUUUAGGGUUUAAGGCUACUAACUUUAUAUUAUAUAAAACAAAAUUGGCGCAUCAUAAGUUGGAACCGGAUCCCCUCUAGACCUAAUGGAACUAAAUCCAAGGAUCAAAUGAUCUGGACUAUAAACAGGUGGUCCCUCUAAAAGUUAUAAUAAUUGUAGUCGUUGAAUUAAAUUUCAAUGGUCCGGAUCAUUUGAUCCUUAAGCUCAGUUCCCUUGGGUCUAGAGGGGAUCCGGUUCCUCAUAAUUUAACUGUUGUUCUGUGACCCCGUUGAUAAAAAAUCUAAUGCUCGGUCUUUACACGGCUGCACACGAGUGCAGGAUGUGGGAGAGCACAAACAACAAUCCCCUCAGCUAAUCACCUUCAGCUUGCUCUAAAGUGUUGUGCUUCUUUUUUACCUUUCAUCUUCCACUAACUUUCUACAUUGUCGGUACUCAGUAAUCUCAUCCUAGAUAUCAAUAGUAAACACUUACUGUGAUUUAUACGCUAAAUGCAGCAAGCAAGCGAGAUUUACUUCAUGAGCAGUAUGUUCAUGGGAUGUGUAUCGUACUGGUCAUGCAAAAUCAAGACAAAAUUUAAACGGUUCAUUCUCUAUCACAUUAAAGGACUUAAAAAGUAAAUUAGGUAAAGCCAACACCAGCUAAACGGUGCGUGCAUGCAUAUGACAUGAACACUGGUAUUCCCCUUUCAAGGUUCAGAUAAACUUGGAUGUUCCAAAUACAACUGCACAUAUAGAGGUUGGCUACUCACUGACUUAAUAGGGGUUAUUAAUGGAGGUUGUUGCCACCGCUUUGUGUUUGUUGGAAUUAGUGUAACUUGAUUUAGCUGGGUUUUAUUUUCAGAAUGCUGAACAGAAGCAAAGCAAAGAUGGAAGAAGUUGAACCGAAAAGUUUUCUUUCUUGUUCACUCUUGCAAAAGUAUUGCAGAGGAAUAUUUUGUACUACACUAAAAAAUGCGCACUAACACUGCUUUACAUUUUUCUGAUGGCCUUAGUUUAGGACCACACAAAACACUAUUUUUAAUCUUAGUCACUCAUCUACCUAAUUACAUGGAUCAAACACCACAUGGCACUCAUGGCCUUACAUCAUUUAACUUUACACUUGGCAGAUAUGCUCAAGUGAGUACACACAUUAAACUCAUCUUAUUUCUAAUACUCAAUCAGCUAGAGACUUAUAAUUCAACACUCCCCUUUAAGUCUUGAGCUGAUUUCACUCCAAGCAUGCUCCUGAGAUAAUUAAACCGAUCUUUAGGCAGAGGUUUUGUGAAGAUAUCAGCUAGUUGCUCAUUAGUUGGACAGUACACCAGAUCAAUGAUGUCAUCCUUCAGUGCAUCCUUGAUGAAAUGGUAUCUUCUGUUAAUGUGUUUGGUCUUUUGAUGGAACACAGAGUUCUUGGUGAUUGCAAUUGCUGAGGUGUUGUCACAGUGCACUGGAGUGGCUUCGGUUUGAAAUUCACCAAAGUCUUCAAGAACAAAUCUCAACCAAAUGGCUUGAGUAGUUGCUUCUGAAGCACUGAUGUACUCUGCUUCUGCAGUGGAAAGAGCUACACAAUUUUGCUUCACAGAUGCCCAUGAGAAUACUCCACUGCCAAAGGAGAAAGCAUAACCAGAAGUACUUUUACUGUCCUCAAUUGAUCCACUCCAGUCACUGUCACAAAACCCAAUUAACAUUGAGUUCUUACCCUUCACAUAUUCCAGACCAUAAUCUAGUGUGCCCUUAAUGUAUCUUAGCACUCUUUUAGCAGUUCCAACAUGCUUACUGGUAGGGCAGUGCAUAAAUCUGGCUAACAGACUGGAAGCAUACAUAACAUCAGGCCUGGUUGCAGUGAGAUAUAAGAGACUUCCCACCAUACUUCUGUAUAACGCUUCACUUGCUGCACCACUUCCAUCAUCUGUGGUUAACUUCUCAGUUGCAACCAGUGGAGUAAGCACAGGUUUGCACUCUUUUAGACCAAAUUUUUCUAAUAAAGAGCUUGCAUAUUUCUUUUGGUGGAUGAAAAUGCUUGAAGUUGAUUGAAUUAUUCCCAUUCCGAGAAAAUGAUGGAGAAGACCCAAAUCAGUCAUCUCAUACUUUCUUUUCAUGUCUUCCUUGAAUUCUUCAAGCAUUUGUUUGUUGCUCCCAGUAUAGAUUAUGUCAUCCACAUAGAUCGACACAAUCAAAAUGUCUUUCUCUUCUGCCUUGAUGUACAGUGUUGGUUCACUUAAACUUCUUGUAAAGCCACACUGUGAGAAAUAUGUAUCGAUCUCUCCAUACCAGGCCCGUGGUGCCUGUUUUAGACCAUACAAGGCUUUGUGAAGUUUAUAUACCCUGUCUUCCUCCCCUUUAGCUACAAAACCAUCAGGCUGCUCUACAUAAACCUCCUCCUCUAGAACACCAUUUAAAAAAGCCGAUUUGACAUCAAGUUGAUAGAGUUUCCAACUCUUUUGUGCAGCCAAUGCUAUAAGGGUUCUUAUUGUAUCUAACCGAGCAACAGGAGCAAAGGUCUCAUUGUAGUCUAUUCCUGGUUUAUGGGCAUAUCCCUUUGCAACAAACCUUGCCUUGUUCUUUUGCACAGUUCCAUCCAGGUUGAGUUUGGUUUUAAACACCCAUUUUACUCCAAUUAUAGGCUUGUUACUUGGCAUGUCCACUAACUCCCAGGUUGCAUUCUUUUCAAUCAUGGAGAGCUCAUCCUUCAUAGCAUUCAUCCAAGAUUCAUCCUUAGCUGCAUCUUCAAAUUUCUCUUGUUCUAUAAUGCACAGAUUACAUUGAGCAAGUACAUCAUCCAGCUUUCUCCAUUUUAAUGGAGUAUGAUCAAAUGCCUGAGUGUCACUCACACCUGCACUUGACUGAGAAUUGAUAUGUGUAUCAUCAAUAUCACUUGUAGCUUCUUCCAAUAUGCCAGAUGAUGAACCACUUGAAACUUGAGGGUCAUUUUCAUUAUUCUCACUUCUUGGGGUAUUCACAGUGUCAAACUCAUAAGUAGGCAGUGACAUAUAUCUUUCUGUGCUUAUUUCCCAAUCCCAAGCUGAGUUUUCAUCGAACACAACAUCUCUUGACAGAAUCAGUCUCUUAGAGAUUGGAUCAAAUACUCUAUAGCUUUUCUCACAUUUUGCAUAUCCAACAAAGACUCAUUUUAUACUCUUAGGUUCUAGCUUGUGCCUUAGCUCGGAUGGAGUAUGGACAUAACAGACUGAGCCAAAAACCUUCAAAUGAGCAAUACCUGGUUUCCUUUUGCUGUAAGCUUCAAAAGGUGUUAUACUAUCCAGUGAUUUGGUAGGACAUCUGUUUAACAGAUAGACAGCAGUAUGCACAGCUUCUGCCCACAUAUUGUAAGGCAUUCCUUUGUCAUGAAGCAUAGACUUGGCCAUUUCAAUCACAGUUCUGUUUUCCUUUCAACCACUCCAUUUUGCUGUGGAGUGUAAGAUAGAGACAGUUGCCUUUGGAUUCCCUCUGUGUCACAGUAUUGCUUGAAUUCAUUUGAUAAGAACUCCCCUCCUCUAUCACUCCUUACACAUUUUACCUUCAUUCCACUUUGCAACUCAGUCAUGGCCUUGAAUUUCUGAAAACAAGUAAAAGCUUCAGAUUUGAAUCUAAGAAAAUACACCCAUAUCAUCAUGGUUGCAUCAUCUACAAGCAACAUAAAGUACUUGUUUCCUCCAGUAGACUCGAUUCUCAUUGGUCCACACAGAUCAACAUGAACCAAUUCAAGUGGAGCACCAGCUCUUUGUGCUUGACCACUAGGAAACCUUUCUCUGUGUUGCUUACCAUAUUGACAGCCUUCACACACUUUGUCAUACUCAUCUAGAUAUGGUAAUCCAUGAACCAUGUCAUUAUCCUUCAAUUUCUUGAUUCCACCAAAGUGUAGGUGGCCUAAUCUUCUGUGCCAAGUCAGAGAACAAUGAGCAAAACUGGUUUUCAACACAAGUUGUUUUUCAGGCCGUAGAGAUAGAGGAUAGCACCUGUUUUCUUUCAUUUUUACACGGAUAAUUUGACAUUUCAGAGAAGGACCAUAAAAAACAGUGCACUUAUGUCCACCAAACACAAGAUAAUAUCCGUGCUCAUCCAUUUGUCCUACACUUAAUAGAUUCUCUUUCAAACCAGGUAGGUACAUGACUUCUCGAAUGUAUUUUCUUCCUCUGUUAGUCUCAAUUUCCAGUGAUCUCAUUCCUGCCACAUUAACUAACACUCAUGUUGGCAUUUGAACUUUCCCUGCAACAUUUGUAUUCACAUCAACAAGAAGAUCAACAUUUCCUGUCAUAUGAUUACUGCAGCCACUAUCUAUGUACCAAUCUCCAUUAACCUUAGUCUCAGCAACUGCACAAUUUGCAUAAAAUAAGUUUCCUGUCACUUCCAUUUGACUUGCACAGUUUGCCUUUUGAACAGACUUUCCAACAGUACACUCUCUGGCCCAAUGACCAAAUCUAUCACAGUUAUGGCACUUGGAUUUCCCCUUAUAUCUACAUUCACCAUAAUGAAACUUUGAACACACUUUACAUUGAGGUUUUACACUCUCUUGACCCAUAACCUGUGAGGAAGUACUAUUCUGUGCAAUAUUUGUGUAUGAUUUUUGCUGAAACUUUGGUUUUGAAUCCCAUUUCUUACCCUUUUGAUUCCAAUUUCUUUGUGGUUUAAAAGUACUAGACUGAGCAUAACUUCGAUUCUGCCCUUUUGAACUAACAGUAAGAGAAGAAAAUGCUCUCUCAGUUGCAUCUGAGGAAUGCAAAUCAUCAAACCUCUGCUCUUGACUCUUCAAUAUAGCUAGUACCUCUUGCAGUUCAACAGAUUCUAAACAUUUGGUAUUUUCUAUCACUAAGCAUAUAGGAUCAUAUAUCUUAGUGAGACUGAUUAAUACCUUCUGUACUAAUCUCUCAUUUGACAGAAUUUCACCAAACGUUUUCAUUUGAUUAAUCAGAUCAUUUAAACGAGUAAGAUACCCAGUCAAGGAUUCAUCAUCACGCAUUCUAGUAUAUUCAAAUUCUCUUCUAAGAUUCUGGAGUUUCACAGAUCUUACCUGAUCCCCACCGUGAUAUUCGCCAUAUAACAGAUCCCAUGCCAUUUUUGCCGAGUCUGCGUUUGCGAUUCGAGGGAAAAUCUGAUCGGAGACUGCGUUUUGAAUGAUUCCGAGAGCUUUUGCAUCUUUCAUGAAGAUUGCAGUCAUUUUCUCAUCAUCGUCAGCAUCAACAUCUGUAUCUUCAUCAGUCUUAGCUUUCUUCUUCUUCGAAUCAGAAACCGAAAUCCCUUUUUCCACCAGAUUCCACAGUCCAUAUGACUUGAAAAUGGUAACCAUUUUGAUUCUCCAGAACUCGUAGUUCUCACCGGAGAAGAUCGGGGUCCUCACUUCAGCACUCCCAGAUCUAGCCAUCGUGAGCUUGUGUGAAUCCAGAAACACGUAGUUCUUUAGGUCACAGACAAACUCCGGCAAACUUCACCGAAACCAGAAACGGUGAUGUUUAAGCUCACAGAAACACGCCCAGAUCUUAAUCGAAACUAGGCCCUGAGGCCAUGUUAGUGUAACUUGAUUUAGCUGGGUUUUAUUUUCAGAAUGCUGAACAGAAGCAAAGCAAAGAUGGAAGAAGUUGAACCGAAAAGUUUUCUUUCUUGUUCACUCUUGCAAAAGUAUUGCAGAGGAAUAUUUUGUACUACACUGAAAAAUGCGCACUAACACUGCUUUACAUUUUUCUGAUGGCCUUAGCUUUAGGACCACACAAAACACUAUUUUUAAUCUUAGUCACUCAUCUACCUAAUUACAUGGAUCAAACACCACAUGGCACUCAUGGCCUUACAUCAUUUAACUUUACACUUGGCAGAUAUGCUCAAGUGAGUACACACAUUAAACUCAUCUUAUUUCUAAUACUCAAUCAGCUAGAGACUUAUAAUUCAACAGGAAUCCAUGACUCUGAAAUCCUUGCUUGUACUUGCCUCAGGGAGGGAUCGAAAUUACGCAGUUAUCUCCCACCUGCAAUCUGUUGUAAAAGAAAAGCUUACAUGCCUACCCCUGAUCGAUCAUUAAAGGAAACAAGAUAUUAAUCCAGAUUCCAAACCAUAUACAGUUGACGAACUCAGAAACUACGUAAGCAUCUGGUCAGUAUCCAACUAAAAUGAUACUUCUAUUGAUUUUAAAUCUCAUGGACCAAAAUGAUGAGUUAUGCAAAUUUCAGGAACAUUUUUUUAAUGCAUUCGAUACUUGUACUCUAAACUACUCUAAGGAGAGGAAGAGAUUUGAACUUCAAACACGGUGGGUUGAGGAGAGUUCUAUAAUUUAUUAUUGAUAUUCACAGCAUUCAACCUCUCUUACUUUUAUUGAUAUUGUUCUAGGGUUAAUCAUGAUAGUAAUCUUCUUAUUUAUACUCGUGUUUCACUUUAGUCUUAACUUUAGUUCUAAAUUUUAUGACCUUCUAACCGUAUCACAUCCCCACUUUAGUCAUUAUGUCAAUUUGUUAAACUGUUUCAUUGUAGUAAAGCUGGACAUUUUAGUCGACAAUCAAAUAAACAAAAGUAUGACAGAAUGGUUAAAGCGAGUCACAUAACACAAGUGAAAAACUAUUAAAUAGAUAAACUAAAUUGGAGAUAAAGUGAAAUACAAAUAUAAGUUUAAGGACAAAUAUUUUAAUUAAUUCUAUUUUUAGUUCAUUCCUGUUUUUUUUUUCUUUCACGUGAAUAAAAAAGCUUUGCUUUCAUUUCUUAAUAAUGUUGAAUUUUUUGUUCUUGAGAAAUAAAAUGCAGGCCGAUAUCUCAGUAAAUUGGGCGAGGUGGGUGAGCGCGGCAGCGAGCAAGGUGGGCGAGCGUGACAGAGAGCGAAGUGGACGAGGUGUAGGGUGUGCGACGUCUGAAGGAUGAUGUUCUGAGUUUGAAGGGUUCGGCAAGGUCGGGGUGUCGAGUUUCAACUUUGGAGUCUGGAGACUGGAGGCAAGGUAUCAAGUUUGGAAUCUGAAGAAAGGAGGGGACGAGGGGUGUAUUAGUUAGGGUUAGUGUAAAACAUAAAACAACGUAGUAUUCUGGGUUUAGAUGUUCGGUUUUGUUCGGCUUAGUGCGUAUCCUAACAUUUAAAACCGAAACUGAACCAAUUGAAUUCGAUUCAAUUCAGUUAGAGAAAUUCAAUUUGGUUAUUUUGAUUCGAUAUUUUGUACGAUAUUUUUUUAAAAUAAAGUUUUCGGUUUUCGUUUUUUUCGAACACACCCCUAAUUCUUCAUGAGUCCUUAAUCCAUAUAGGUCAACAUAGUUUCUCUCAAGCGCAUGGGUUGAUCAUCAGCAUAUUUGAUUAAAUCUCGACCUUCCAAUUUUUUAAAUGAAAACGAGAGGCCGAGAUUUGAUCAAUUAUGUUGAUGCACAUGUAGACCAUGUGCAUAAUAGAAACUCUCAUUUGAUCAAACUAUACAUAUCAUCUACAUGGUCUAGUUUUGUCUAUGUUCAUAAGUUGCACGUGAGGCUCACAAAUCGGGACAAAAACAUCAUAAAAAUUACUUUUGUUGACCAUGAAAUGACAUUUUGAGUCUUGACCAUGCAUGUGAGAAUCAUCUACAACCUUCAAGCAUAAUUUAAACAUAGAUCUCGAUUUUGAUUAAGAUUGAUACAAGCUUUACCAUUUGAGUAUGAUGAUGCUUCUUUACUCCCACAUCGUUCAGGAGAGUUGAUCCUCUAUGCCUUAAAUGUACAUGGGCCUUCAUAUAUCAUGAGGUUUUUUAGGAGCUCACAAGCUUUGGGUUCCGUAGGAACUCCGAAGUUAAGCAAGAAUGAGCCAGAGCAUUCCUAGGAUGGGUGAUCCACUGGGAAGUUCUGCUUGCGUGAAUUCCCAAAAACAAAACCGUGAGGGCGUGGUCGGGACUUAAAACAGACAAUAUCGUGCUACGACGGAGUUGAGCUCGAGAUGUGACAUUUACCACAUCACCAUAAACCAUCUUGAGACACUCUACAAUGAGAUGAUGCUUGGUGAAUCAUAUUACAUUGAGGUUUAUGCAUAUUAAUAUUAUGAGAUGCAUGCAUGCACACACUUAGGUUUCUUUUUUGUGCCAUUUUUAGUUUUGCCUUAAUUUAGUGGGUAUUUUGACAAGCUAACAUCUUCCACUCCAAAAGCUUCUAAUCUAGGGUCUAUGCAUAUUAAUAUUAUGAGAUGCAUGCACACACUUAGGUUUCCUUUUUGUGCUAUUUUUAGUUUUGCCAUAAUUUAGUGGGUGACAAGCUAACAUCUUCCACUCCAAAAGCUUCUAAUCUAGGGUCCUUGAACUUGCCCAUAUUAAGUUACCUUCCCAACUCCACCUAAUAUGUGAUCUCCUCAAUCCCAUUUGGGAAUAUAUGGCACCGUUCAUUUUCCAUUACGAUUUGAGGGGGGACCCUUGAGUCCUCUUCCUCCUCUUUGUUCAUGCAUACAGCUUCAAUAGACUUGGUCAAAGAGGGGUCAAGGAAAAGAAGAAAGAUUGACUGGGAUAUGAGGAGAAAACAAAUUGGAAAAAAAAAAAUUGCUUUUGAUAGAGGGAGAGAGAGAGAGAGAGAGAGAGAG